Molecule: long non-coding RNA, 48980 nt
Filed under: Populus tremula
Lineage: Eukaryota; Viridiplantae; Streptophyta; Magnoliopsida; Malpighiales; Salicaceae
Description: long non-coding RNA (PTRE_LNC002013)
Source: RNAcentral
AGUACAGUAGUACCACACAAGAAAUAGUAUCAAAUUGAAUGAUAUUGUUUUCUCUUUGCUGUCUGCUUCAAAUAGUACUAAAAGCUGGGAGAGAGGUAAAUAAAGCGAAGGAGAGGUUAAUGGAAGCCAGGAUGAUUACGUGAAAGAGAGAACUAAGACAGAACAGACUGGAACUCUGGUCCUCCUGCUCUCUCUCUCUCACUAUGUGAAAUAUAAAAGACAAGCAAAGAAGCAGACAUAUUCAUUGUGGUAUGCUUGAUGGCUUACAGAGAGAGAGAGAGAGUAAUGAAAGCCAAAAGCCACGCCUCUGAAGGAGGAGAAUUGGUUUUAGAGAGUCUGUGCUCUCUUUUCUUUCACAUGCUCUUAUAAGGCCACCCUCUCUCUUCCAAGUGGGUCCAGUGCUUGGUUGGCUGUGGUGACGUGGCGUUUAAUUAUUUAAUUACCGAUUUAACAAAAAGUUGCAAAUUGCAAUUGCUACCCUACUUUUGUUUACUGUCACACUGUGUGUCUAUACUUUGUUUCUUCCGAGGUAGAGUGGUUUGUUUGUGUGGUUAAAUUUUUAUUUUUAAAUUAUUUAUAUAUAUAUUUAAAUUGUUUUGAUAUGUUAAUAUUAAGUUUGAAAAAUAAAAAAAAUAUUUUAAUAUAUUUUUUUAAAAAAUAUUUUAAAAAACAAUACUUAUUCAAUUCAGACAUUACCGAAAAUGGCAUAAGAUCCUCACUUUUUUCUUGCAUUUGCUCAAAACAAAGGAGAGGGGAUUAACUUAUUAAGGUGCAUGAUUAUGCAUACAAGAUAGGUGCCCGAUAUUAAUCCCCGAUAUAUAGUUGUUUUCCGAUUCUCAAAUUCUUAAUUAGUAUUUAAAUAUAAUUUUUUUUUCUUAUGUUUUGUCUAUCGAAGCAUUUUCUUAAUAAUUUGUAGUAGUUUUAUUUUUAAAAAACCCACAAACAAAGGGAGCAUUCUUCUUGGAAACAACUUGGAAUUAUUUUCCAUUCCUCUCUUUUUUAUAAAAAGCAAAGGGACUUUCGGUUGUUCAUGAGGGGAGGAGAAAUGGGAACGACUGCAAAGCAUGGAGACUACACACCGUCAGGACUCGCCGUCAAUCAUAACGUGAGCUCAGGCAAGAUGCGUAUCUGCACAGUCAAGCAAUGCGGGCGGCUCAUCGGAUGCUUUGACUUACAACGCCAUCCAAAAUCAAAUGAACAGCAAUAAUGCAGCCUUUUGCAUUAAAUCCAGUAAAGUUUUUUAGAUUUUCUUUUGAAAUAAAACACAAGUUUGUUCAUUUGGGUUGACUAAUGGAGGAUGGCAGUACAUUUCAUGGGAAACAGGGAAGAAGAUCGUAUGGGAAUGGAGAAAAAGAAAUAUUUAUAACAAUACGUACUUUACACCUCCUGUAUAUACAUUAAUUAAAAUGAUUACCGUGUCUUUCUCUCGUUCUCUGAGAUAAUUUGCCUUUCUUAUGGUGUAAUCACCAAGUUGCAGGAGCAUCUUUAUAUAUUAUUAUUAUUAUUACGUUUUCCACAAUUUAUAAAAACAUAACGUUUUAAUUUUAAACAUGUAUGAAUGUGUUUUGAGUGUAAAUGUUUUUUAACGAUUUUGUUUUCAAUAUUCUAAACAAAUGGUAGGAGUAUUUUCAGAGGUAUGUAUAAAGGUUUGAGUAGUUUUUUUUAAUCAAAGUAUUGAUCCAUUAAUAAAUCUUUAAACAAGUUAUGUCAAUUGAAUGUUGAUACUUUGUUAUUUUUUUUAUAAAAAAUAUAUUUUUGAUUUGUUUCGGGUGAUUUUAUUCAACCUAAAAGUAGUAUAAUCCUUAAAUGGGUUAUAUCCUUUAAAAAUCAAGAAAAUUAAUUUAUUUUUAAAACGAAUUAUAUAUAUAUAUAUGAACAUGAUUUGUGAGUUGAAAAAUCCUCUUUUGAUUUACUUUUCUAUCAUACAACAAAUCGUUAUCUUACUAACGAAAUCAAAGGCUACGACAUGUGUUUAGAUGUGUGUAUGUGUAUUUACUUGUAAAUAUCUCAUUCUUUUUAUUUUUAUUAAUGUGUGAACAUUAUUUUUUAUAUGUUAGAACAUUAUCCCAUGAGAAAACCUAGGUUUAAUCAAUAUUGUCCCAUCAAGGCCCUAUGAGUGGGAGGGGAGGUCUUUGGGUCCUUUUUUAGUAUAAUUAAAUAGAAUGGGCAAUAGUUCAAAUUGAUCACUAUCGUCUUAUUGGUUCCAACGCUCAUAUUUUAAAAGUGAGAAUUGGACCUUAUUAUAAGGUAUAUUUCUAAAUCAAUAUCUUAGAUUAGCACUAGUUUAGGAAAAUCUUAGUAAAGCACAAUAAGUAUCUUUUUCAUAAAAAAAUAACCAAUAAUGCAACAUAUCUUAGGUAGGAUGUAUAGGAUGGCGAAUAUCUUUUCUAUUACAUAAUUAACCCCUUAUCUAGAAAUCUAAAAACUAGUUAGAGUUUUUAUUUACCAUAAAAUUAGAUAAUAACUUUUAUUUUAAUUCUUACAUUUAAUUCACCAAGAUGUCCCAUAUGAAAACCAUAAUUAUUAUUUAGCAAUAAAAUAACAAUAAUUUUAAUUUAGUAUUAUAAUAAGAAUUAUCAUCAUCUUAAGUAUCAAUUUUAUAAUAAAGUUUUAUAUAUCUUAAAUUAAGUAAGUUAGAUGUAACAUUCUUCCCUUCAUAUACCUUAGUUAACAAAAAACAGUUUAAAAUAAAUUAAAAGAGGUUUGUUAUUUAAUGUAAACCAAAACACAAAAUAUUGUUGAUUAGAAUAAUAUUUUUACAUUUUUGCCUUUCUCAACAUAAAAUCAAUGGCUUUAUUGAUAAGGGUACUAUCAUCUUUUCCAUAUGAUCCAUUGAUCAUUACCAAGUUGAUUGAAAAAAUCAGUCUUUUCUUAUUUUUUAGCAUAGUAAAAUUACUUAAUUACCCUAAAAGAAAAUAACAUUGAACUGGAAUUUGAUGGCUUCUUUUUCUGUUCUUUUUUUUAAGCAUAGUAAAAUGAUAGAAUUACCUUUAAGAUAAAGAAAUUAUUAAGCUGACAUAAAUGAAUGUUUUCAUAUUUUUAACUGUUAUUUUAGUUAUAAUCAAGUUGCAUGUGUUAGUGAGUGGGAGACACUCACUCUAUUUAGUUGGCGUGUAAGGUGUUUUUUGGUGAAUAUACGAUUGUUUUCAGGGCAUCAUUUGAAACAUCUAGGUGGCGUAUGUGGCCAAUAGACCUCUAGUUUGGUGUCGACAUUCUUUUCUUUUUUUUCUCUCUCCCUCUUGAUUUCCAUGUCUACCCCUCCAAUUUUUCAAAGUAGCCAUUCCAUUUGUUUUUCCUUUAACUUUGAUCCAUGUUUUUUUUAUUAUAAUUUUUUAUUUCAAAUGACUUAUAAAAUUGGGAUUGUGUUUUAGCUUUAACUCACUUCAGUUGUUUUAUCUAACAUAUUUGAUAUUCAUUGUUUUGAUUGCUAUUUUUAUUUUAUUUUUAUCAUUUUCUUGAUUUAUUUGAUUUUUUAAUUUUUGAUGAUUGAGAAUUGUGUUUCGUGAUUUUUUUUAUUUGCCUUCUAUGGAGUAACGUAGUCUUAUGACCCAAGUCAUGAGUUUUAGAGUUUAGCAUGAUUUGACUUUAGUCCUUUUUCUUUGAGGUUCUUUGUUUAUUUUUAUUUUUUUUAAUUUCAUCAUUUGACAUUUGGUUAUUGGACAUUUUAUAAGGUUAUUCUAAUAUCAUAUCCAGGAUCAUGAGUUAGUCUAAUUAACUCAGGUUGACUCGAUUUUUUUUUUUUACUUUUCUCUAAUCGAUUUUAUUUAGUCUCGCCUUUCAUAAUUUAGUUUAUUUGAGAGCUAACCUCGUUUGUUUUAUUCAAUUUUUUUUUAUGUAUAGGGUUAUAUUGACUUCACAAUUUGACCAUAAAUUUGGCAUGUCAACUUGAGUUAGGUUUUUUUGUCCGUUUUUUUUCAAUAUGUUUUUAAGCAUUUUAUUUGUUGGUGAUUGAGUUUAAGAUUUUUUUUUUAUGAGGCUAACCAUUUCUCAUUUAUUUUUUGUUUUGUUAUCCAAUAAAAUCAGUGAGACUUUUUAAUGAUAUUUAAAAAGUAUCUUUUUAUAAUAUUAAGAAACAUUAAUUUUUUAAAAUUAUUGAGACAUUGUCGAUUUUUUCUUUGGUUUUUUUUAUUAUCGUUGGUUUUUUUAUAAUUAUAUUAUUAAAUUUAAUAAAUUUAUUAAACUCAUUCAAGUUACUGAAUUAGUAAUUUCCUUUUGAUUCGAGAUAUUAUUUAGUCAGUUAAACUAAAGGUUAUUCAGUAAUUUACCAAGUUGAUAGAUGUGUAAUUUAUAGAUUUGAAACUUGCUUUGUUGUCCAUUCGGAUAGCAAAUCAACCAACAUAAUUGUGCACUUGAUAUGGUGCAUAGGGCAUGAAUGCGAAAGCAACAUAUUACAUAGUAAUUUCCAACGAUGUUUAAGCACAACUAAUGAUGAUGGACUAACCAUUUCUUUCCUCUGUUUUUUUUUCUUUAUUUCAUUUCUGUACCAAAUUAAAUGUAUGAUUAUAUAAUGAACAUCGCCGUUAGUAACAAACAAUAAAUGAAUUUCAUAGUCCUUAUAGUUUUACCAAUUUUUCAUUCAUGUCCUUCAAAACUAUAGAUUGACCUUCCAUUAUAAAUUAAGAGUUUGAAAAGAUAACUAAGAAUUUUAUGCUCGUAACAAUUUCUCAAGUGAAAUAGAAUAUUUCUCUGUGAAUGUAUGUUAAUAACAUUACUAUAAGAAAAAUCAAAUGAAAUCAUUUUUCUUUAGGGAAAUAUUAAGAAAAAAAUGAGGCAAUAAUUAAAUACUCCAUUGGCUUGUUUGCUAAGAGAGCGUGCUGGCAUUUCUCUUUGCACGAGUUCAAGAAAAUGAAAGAAUGGAAAUGAGUUUUUAUGAAGAAGAAAACUCGGAAUAAACGAUUAUAAAAGCGCAUAGUUCAGGUGGGCAUUCCUCAAUCAACACCAUUCAUAAGGGAGAGAUAUGGCUAGUUUGCUUAGAGAGAGCGCUUCCAUGUCGGCAUUUCACUUUACAAGAGCGCAAGAAAACGAAAGAAAAAAAGAAGCCACAUACUGAUAUCUUGAGCAACAGACCUGGAGAAGGGACCAGCUUUGUUGAUGGCCAUUGUAACAAGAAAACUAUCUAGAAAACUAUCUAGAUCAAACACCUUGCUGGCAUUGCUUUAGCCACCUCCGGUACCGUAAUUCUACUAGCAACAUUCCUAGCAGUCAACGUUAGUUCACGAGAACUAUUUCUAAUAAUAUCCGCACCAGGUCCGCCCUAUCAAAGAAAUAUCAACAUCGGCAUUGAUUUUAAGGCAAUUUUUGGGAGGAGGAUGCCAUCGGACAUUUGGUUCCCCGAUGAUCGAUGCAUUUUACUGGCCUUGGUGAUCGGAAAGAAGAAAAGAUGCUAUAUGAACAAUCAACAGGGGAUCACCUAGUGCAAUAUUGAAAAUGGAAUCCUUCCGCGAUUUCCACAAUGACCAGACAAUCAUGCUGAAAUAGUCCAUCUCCAAAUGUUGUCAUAGGUCCAUGACCCAAUCUUGAAAAGAUCCAUAAUCCAUACAAGAACUGUAAGGAGACAAGAAGGAUAGAAACCACAGAGGUCUACCAUGAUAUUUGGCGUAUUUGAGCUAGGUUUAUUGAUUGUUGGGGUAUAUCUCGGUACUGCCUUAGAAGUUUAUCUAAUCUAUUUCAUUAAUGGGAACAUCUUGUUCAUGGAAGAUUUCAGAGAAAGAAAUCCUUCAUGCUUUUCUUUAUAAUUUUACGGUUUAUCUAGCUUACAUGUAAUGAGUUAAUCUUCAAUAAAAGGAUGCCUAAUUAUGAUGAUAUUGUGUUUUCUUGAUAUUGACUAGAAUGUGUGUAUAGAUCAAAGCUAUUUUCUCAAAUUUUUAUUAUUGAGCACUUGAUUUAUUAAUAUCCAUGGAUGGUUUAGUUUGCUAGACUAAUAUCAAAUGUUUAAAGCCUCUCACUUACAAUAUUCCUCCGAAACGGAUUGUUGAUGGAUCUUCUAGGGAUAAACUUGGACCUAUUGGAAUUUAAGGGGUACUACAUGAUCAUAAUGGCUUAGUAAUGAGAUUUUUUUCAGCCUAUGUGGGAAUUAAGAAGUCAAAUGAGGUUGAAUUGCUUGUUUUAAUCAAAACCCUAGAAUUAUCCUCUUCGAGGAAUGAAUUUCAGUAUUAAAUCUUAUUCUGCCUCUAUUAUUAAUUGGAUGAACAAACAUCAUGUUAGACCUUCAAAAUAUCAUAUUUAUUCAUUUUCACCUAUCAUUAUGUUGUUUUUUUCUUUUUAAUCUUUGCAACCAAGGACCAUAUAUUGUAGGGAUCCAUCACUAGAAAUCUCAUCAACCAUCACAACUUGAUCCUCAUCGCCUUUCUCCUUACCACAUUCAAAUCAUUGCCCUUACCUUAUACCUUACCAACAAAAUUUCCAUGUAUUAAGAAAGAUGAGAUAAAAUAGAGAUAAAAAAUGAAAAAUAUCCUUCAAAUAGAAAUGACAACUCCUAGAAGAACACUUGCAAUAAAUAAGAAAAAAACUUAGAUUUCCAUCAUAAGGAAAACCAUAGAGAGAAACUUUGGGAAAGACUAGUACUUUGAAUAUAGUAUAAUACUAGAUAAGUGGCUCAUGCUAUACCACAAGCUCGACCAUAAAAAACCUUUAAUGUAAAAAAAUAAUGUCCAUGUAUUGUUAGUGUGUUUCAAGAAGUAAGAAAAACACACAACUGGGGUCAUAGACCCAAGUGGAUUCAAUAAGAUAGGUUCAUUUAAUUAUAUAUUAAAAAAUGAUAGCAAAUAGGCUAAAAUUAAAAAAUCUUUCAUAAAUGAGCCUAAGUAAAGUGAUCUUGGGCUUGAGCCACGUAUGCGUAAUUGCUCAACUCCACUCGGGCUCAUUUAUGAAUUUCAACAAAAAAAUAUCUAAGAAAACAAAUGAUAGAUUAUUAUGUUACUAAAAUACUAUAAAAAUUAUAAAAGAAAAUAACUUAUUUUUGUAUUAAAAAGUGCACAUGGGACUUGCUACUAAAUACGAUGAGAAAAGUUCCUUAUUCAUAAAAAUUUAUUGUGUAAGUUAGAUGUUAAUUUGGGACCUAAUUCAUGAGGUUAGUGAUUAGUACUUAAAAGUGCAUGUUUAUCAAGGUUUUAUAUCAUCAUUUUGCACUUGAAGUAUCAAUAACUCUUUAACUAAAGCAUGUUUUAUAAUAACAAGUUUGAUAUUAUAAGAUACCUUAAUUUAUGGUAAAUGCUCAUUUUAAUGCAAGACUAUCACAUAAAUAAAAGGAUUGAUUGAUGAGUUUAAGUAUUGAAAGUUAAAGACAAAGAGAUGGCCAAACUUAGAAAAGAGAUGUCGGUGCAGUCCAAACCGGAACAUUGCUCGGUAUUUGGAUCAUAUCUGGAGCUCUAGAUCUCGGAUUUAGGUCCAUUUUAUAUGGAUGGAAAAGUAAAACAUAGGCCUACAACUUUCAUUUAGACACCAAGAUUUAAAAAGGUCGUUUUGAAGUCCAAAUUGAAGGAACAACGAAGAAGUCUGAAGCUGUCCUGCAGCCCAAAUACUAUUUAGUGUUCAGCCCAUAUCUUGAGUUCUAGAAAUCCAAAUGACCUCAUCUUUUUUUUGUUGGAAAGCUGAGACAAUUUCCUAGAACAUUCUUGAGGAUUCUGGGCAAAUUAUGAUGUUAGCAAUGACGUCUUGAUCAGACAAGAAGAUAAGGAUUGUUAUCAAGUCAAGAUUUGGCCACCCACUCAUCAAUUAGUCAACAAAUCAAUAGUUCCAAAUUUUGGCCUAUAAAAGGAGGCACUUACCAUGUAUUGAGGCAUCUUGGUUUUCAGAUCAAGAUCAUGCUCUUGCUUUCUCUCUUUGUAUUGCUUAUGUCUUGCUUUCAUUAAUAUCAAGUUUAUGCACUUCAUUUCCUUUCCUUUACUUAGUUAACCUCUUUCUCAUUUAUGUUCUUAUCUUGUUCAUUUAUGUUUCUUUCUUUCAUUAUGUUCAGCUAAGUUAAUUAUGUCAAGGUGAAAAGGGUACACUAAUGGUGUAAGAAUAAGUAUAAUAUAAACUUAACAUGGACCUUAACGUUGGAUACGAACAUGUUUUAUAUUUGUUAUCUUGUUCACUUUUAAUACUUUGCUUGUUAAAUGGUUAAUCUAGAUUUAUGUUGUAUAACACUUGGUACAACAAAUACUUGGCACUUUCAUAGCCCAUACUGUAUGGUAUAACCGACACCUGAGCUAUGAAAGGAACUUGAUUUGUUGUUAACAUAAGUUAUAAUCAUGAAUGCCUGCCAACAUUUACAAGUAUUAGCUUUAUUCGAAUAAGAUAACUAAUGUAAUCAUGUUAACAAUUUAUAAUCUGAAUGAAACCUCCUUUAUGUGUGGUUUCCAAUUGAGUAAUAAGAGUUUAUAUUAUACUUGUUUGAAGUACCAUUAGUGGAUCCUCUAACCUUGACAUUUGUUUUUAUCAUUGUUUAAUCCUUACGUUAAUCUUUCAUCUCAAAGUUCUCAUUAAUUUCUUCAUCUUCUGCUUUCAUUAUUAUUAUUAUUAUUAUUCUUAUUAUUAUUAUUAUUAUUAUUUACAUUCUGUUUAUAUUAUAUAAUAUAUAUAUUUGAUCUUUUCAUAAACUCAGUAUAUAGGCUGGAAACCUGUGACCCGAUCUUUAGAUCAUUCUCAGAUAUAACAACGCCACGUACUGAGUAUAAUAGUUAUUAUUAUUAUUAUUAUUAUUAUUGUUAUUGUUAUUGUUGUUGUUGUUGUCUUGUUAUUUAUAAUUUAUACAAUUAACCUCUCUGUGGUUCGACCCCGGUCUUGCCGGGUUAUUUAUUACUUCGACACUCCUGCACUUGGAAAGAGACAUCAAGCUUUUGGUCGUGUCAAGUUUUUGGCGCCGUUGCCGGGGAGGAAUGGACUGAUGAAGCUAUCAUUUGGAAACAUGACAUUGGAGAUGAAUAUUUUCAACAUUUACAAGCAACCUGGAGAUGAUAAUGAUUUACAGGAAGUGGACUUUAUUGAAAAAUUAGUUCAUGAUCAAUUUCAAACCACUUCUAGUGAAACUGAGAUUGAUGAAUCUGAUGAUUUGCAAAUGGUCUACAUUCAGGAAUCAAAGGCAUACAAUUGGAGACCACAAAUUGAAGAAUUGCCACCACGAUCAAUUGAGCCCAUACCUUCAAGUGUUCAACCACCAAAACCUGAAUUGAAGCCGUUACCAUUUAAUCUCAAAUACUCAUUUUUGGGAGAAAAUGAAACUUUUCCGGUAAUAAUCUCUUCCAAACUUAAUGCGCAUCAAGAAGGUAAGUUAUUACAGACUCUGAAAAUGCACAAAAAUGCAUUAGGAUGGACCAUAGCUGACAUAAAAGGAAUUAGCCCUUUGAUUUGCACAUACAGGAUUUAUUUGGAGGAAAAUGCUAAACCCUCUAGAGAAAUGCAACGAAGGCUUAAUCCUAAUAUGAAAGAAGUAGUGAAAAAUGAAGUCAUUAAGCUUCUAGAUAACGAAAUCAUUUAUCCUAUUUCUGACAGCAAAUGGGUAAGUUGUACCCAAAAAGUCUGGAGUCAUUGUGAUAACAAAUGAGAAAAAUGAGUUAAUUCCAACUAGGACUGUUACGGGUUGGCGCAUGUGCAUUGACUAUAGGAAACUUAAUUCAAUGACUAGAAAAGAUCAUUUCCCUUUACCUUUCAUGGACAAAUCCUAGAAAGAGUUGCAGGUCAUGAAUUUUAUUGUUUCCUAGAUGGCUAUUCAGGUUACAAUCAAAUUGAAAUUGCAUUGGAAGAUCAAGAGAAGACUACUUUCACAUGUCCAUUUGGUACUUUUGCAUAUCGAAGGAUGCCUUUUGGAUUAUGUAAUGCACCAGCCACGUUUCAAAGAUGCAUGCUUAGCAUAUUCAGUGAUAUGGUUGAACGUUUUCUUGAAAUUUUUAUGGAUGAUUUUUCUGUUUUUGGUGAUUCAUUUGAUGAUUGUUUGACUAACUUAGAAAAGGUUUUGAGCAGGUGUGAAGAGAAGAAUCUUGUACUGAAUUGGGAAAAAUGUCACUUUAUGGUAACAAACGGCAUUGUACUUGGUCACAUUGUUUCAUCGAAAGGAAUUGAGGUUGACAAAUCUAAAAUCGAGUUAAUUGCCAACUUACCAACACCAAAAUCUGUUAAAGAUGUUAGAUCAUUCUUAGGACAUGCUGGUUUUUACAGAAGGUUCAUCAAAGAUUUUAGUGUAAUAUCUAAGCCCUUGAGUAACCUUCUAACAAAGGAUAAUAUUUUUGAAUGGACUGAACAUUGUGAGAAGCCUUUGUUAAACUUAAAAACUUGCUUACUUCUGCUCCUGUCAUUCAACCUCCUGAUUGGUCAUUACCUUUUGAAAUAAUGUGUGACGCUAGUGAUUAUGCCGUGGGUGCUGUCUUGGGACAAAGAAAGAUAAGAAACCUUAUGUGAUUUACUAUGCAAGUAAAACUUUAAAUAGUGCUCAAAUGAAUUACACUACCACUGAAAAAGAAUUACUUGCAGUAGUAUUUGCAUGUGAAAGUUCAGAUCUUAUCUUGUUGGCUCACCUGUUUGUUGUUUUUAGUGAUCAUGCAGCAUUGAAAUAUCUCUUCUAAGAAAGAUUCUAAGGCUAGAUUGGUGCGGUGGAUUUUGUUACUUCAAGAAUUUGAUAUCACAAUCAAAGACAAGAAAGGCACCGAAAAUGUUGUCGCGAUCAUUUGUCAAGAUUGACAACCGAUUCGAGAUCUGACAUUACACCAAUCGAUGACUACUUUCCUGAUGAAUCUUUAUUUUCUGUUCUACGAUGCCUUGGUUUGCUAAUAUUGUUAAUUUUCUUGUUUCAGGACAAUUGCCAGCUCAUUGGAGUACCCAAGACAAAAGAAAGUUCUUGAACGAAGUGAAGAACUUUUAUUGGGAUGACCCUUAUUUAUUCAAAUAUUGUCCUGAUCAAAUAUUUCGAAGAUGCAUUCCUGACAAUGAGGUAAGUAGUGUCAUUAAAUUUUGUCAUUCUGAGGCAUGUGGGGGUCAUUUCUCAUCAAGAAAGACAACUGCAAAAAUCUUACAAAGUGGAUUUUACUGGCCCACCAUGUUCAAAGACUCACAUGCAUUCUGUAAGAUUUGUGAAAAUUGUCAAAAGUUGGGAUCUAUUUCGAAACGUCACAUGAUGCCUUUAAAUCCUAUUCUUGUCAUUGAGAUCUUUGACUGUUGGGGUAUAGAUUUCAUGGGUCCAUUUCCUCCAUCAUUUGGUUUCUUGUACAUAUUGGUCGCAGUAGAUUAUGUUUCAAAAUGGAUAGAGGCAAUUCCAAGUCGAACCAAUGAUCACAAAACGUGAUAAAGUUUUUGAAAGAAAACAUUUUAAGUCGAUUUGGAAUCCCUCGAGCCAUGAUAAGUGACGGUGGAACACACUUUUGCAACAAGCCAUUUGAGUCUUUAAUGAAGAAAUAUGGAAUCACACAUAAAGUUGCCACCCCUUAUCACCCUCAGACAAGUGGACAAGUAGAGCUUGCUAAUAGGGAGAUCAAACAGAUCUUGGAGAAAACAGUGAACCCUAAUAGGAAAGACUGGUCUUUAAGACUUAAUGAUGCACUUUGGGCUUAUCGAACUGCUUAUAAAACAUCAUUAGGUAUGUCACCUUAUAGACUAGUCUAUGGAAAACCUUGUCACUUGCCUGUGGAAAUUGAACAUAAAGCUUAUUGGGCUAUUAAAGCUUUCAAUUCAAGCCUUGAUGAUGCUAGUCAGCUGCGAAAAUUGCAAAUAAAUGAGCUUGAGGAAAUAAGAAAUGAUGCAUAUGACAAUUCAAAAUUCAUAAAGCAAGAAUUAAAGAGUUUCAUGACAAGAAAAUACUGAGAAAAACAUUCAAUGUUGGUCAAAAAGUCUUGCUUUAUAAUUCUCGACUCCAUUUAUUUCCUGGAAAACUAAGAUCAAGAUGGAGCGGUCCUUUUAUUGUGAAACAUGUGUAUCCAUAUGGGGCCUGUGAUAUUGAGAAUCCAAAGAAUGGCAAUGUUUUCAAGGUAAAUGGGCAUCGUUUGAAAGUUUAUUUUGACAAUUUUUCGGUUGAAAAUGACUCUAUUGAAUUGAGUGAUCCUGUAUAAAAGAUUGAUUCUUUUUCUCACAUUGUUUUGUGUUUGUUGUAUCUAUUGUUUUGCUAGUCUCUCUUUCACCCCGGUCAAAUGGCGGAUAACGGUACUCCGUGACUUAAGUCGGUUCUUUCAGUUUCCCAAAUAACUGAUAUCUGUAUAUAUUUGUACAAUUCUUAGCUCUUUCUCCCUUCUUUGAAUCUCUUCUCUAAUUCUCUUUUGAAAAUGGACACCACUCUUGAAAAGUUGAAAAGGUAUUUUCCCGCUUUGCCUCCAAAUGCGAUUAAUAAAAUUUACCGUGCUAGGUGUGCAAGAUUGAGGUUGUUAAUGAAUCAUGGAAUUCCUGAAGAUAUUCGCUGGCUAAUUGAAGCAAAGGUCCGAUUAUCAGGUGAGUCCUCCAAUUCUUUCAUUUCACACAUGCCUGGAACAGGUAAAAGCACUUUUGCAAAGAAACGUCGUGCAAAACGACUGAAAGUCUGUCACAGAUGUGCCAGAUGGACUUGUAAUGCGACAUGUCGUUCUUUAGGAAUGGUAUCUGUAAACCGUGAAGAUAAGAUACAAUUCAUUAAGGAUGGCCUGAGUAAGGGGUCUUUAGAUAAUCUUUUGUUGACCCUUGAGACGCAUCCUAGUGGAGAUGUGCAUCGUGUAAUUCAUGAUUUAUGGCCACAAUUCCAUAAAGAACAUGAUCGACUUAGUCUUGGGAAUCUGACUAAAAAAGACCCUGUUUGCCAGUUUUUAAGAAAACUGGAUGGGAAGCCUAUCCCCGACCCAUAGAGGGCGUUUAAGCCGUUCUUGGACGUAAAACCAAGGGAAGAUGUGAGCCACAAUCACAACUACCUGUACAUACAUGCUUUUUCAAAAUAAAUAAUUAAUAAAGAGAGAGAGAGAGAGUUUGUGAGACUACAGCUGGCCUACAUAUAGGUGGUAUGAUUGCAUUUUCACUUUUUCAUCUAUAAAUUCUUCUCUUCCUUCCCUUCAUUUCUACUCAUCCCAUAUAUUCAUCAAAUAUAGAAGUGUGUAGAAAUGGCAGGUUCCUCAAGUCAUCAUAUAAGAAAUAUUUGUGUUUUCGGUGGAUCCAGUUCUGGGAAAGAAAAAGAGUUUUUAGAAUCAGCAAAUCAUCUUGGUCGGGUACUAGCUGAGAGAAAGAUUCAUUUAGUGUAUGGGGGAGGUAGCCUUGGGUUAAUGGGAGGUGUGUCAAUGGCUGCAUUUUUAGGAGGCAGUCAAGUUUUGGGGGUUGUCCCCAAAGCUUUAGCAAAUGGGGACAUCAUUGGAAAAACAAUUGGAGAGGAACUACAGGUCCCAACAAUGUCUGACCGACUGAAUACCAUGUUUAACCAUGCUGAUGCCUUCAUUGCCUUACCAGGUGGUCUGGGCACAUUGGAAGAGAUCUUUCAUAUUUCAUCUUGGGCCCAACUGCACAUUCACCAUAAACCUAUAGGUUUGUUAAAUGUUAAUGGUUUUUAUGAUAAGUUGUGUCUUUCCUUGAUCAAGCUGUGGAACAGGAAUUUCUAACAUCUUCGGCACGACGAAUCAUAAUCUCUGCUGCUACUGCUGAACAAUUGAUUGACCAACUACAAUCUUUCAUCCCUGUCAUUGAUCCCUGCAUGAGUCGCUAGAUUGGUCAACUAAGGAAAGCCGUAAAAAGCUUAGAUUAGAUUUGAGCCUUCAUCUGUGAAACCUUGUGUCUUUUGGUUUUAUUAAUAGCAUAUUAUUUUGUUUUGUUACUUCUUAUGUUUGUUUAAGUGUGUUUCAGGUUUGUCAUUGUUCGCUGUUUCAGGUGAUGUCUUCUAUACUCUAUCUUUCUACCUUCGAACAUUGAGGACAAUGUCUCGUUUUGGUUGGGGGAGAGGGUAGUAGUUUAAAAAAAAAAAAAACUAACUUGCUAACUGUUUUUGCUAUUAUUAAAACCAUUUGACAAAAUUGUUAUUAGGAUGGCAGAGUAUGGAAUCAAUUUUAUUGACUCUAGAGACGCAUCUUAGUAAGUUUCAUUACCAAGGUCUAUCAUAAUACUUCUUGAAAUAUUCAGGUUUACAAACUCUCACAUUGUUAUCACUUGAUUCUGCUCAUAUACUCAUUUAACAAGUAUUAUUAAACCUUCAUUUUCACACACACACUUUAACAUAUGAUUGUGGGUUGCACAUUGGAUUAUUACAUUAAUUAUGUUCUUUUGUUGAAGGUAACAACUAAGGGAAAAGGAUAGUAUAUAAUUUGCAAAAAAAAAAAAAAAAGAAAAAAAUAGUAUUGAUGAUAAUAAAACGUGGAUAAGUUUGGUUUCGUAGCCUCCCUAACCUAAGCAAUUAAGCCCGAAGGGGUGUUUUAACACCUAAUACCCUAAAGUCAACUGACUUGGGAGCUAUUGGCCCAAAGCUUGUUACAUGGGUUAAGGAGAAAAGCUUAAGGGAAUCAAACAUUGCACUAUCUACGUAUCAGUAUCUGCAACCCGAGUUGUUAAGCUCGUAGGGGUGUCUCAACACCUAAUGCCCUAAGACCAACUGGUCUGGGAGUCAUUAGCCUAAAACUCGUUACAUGGGUUAAAGAUACAUUGUGUUUUAAGUUGUAUGUGUAUAUAAAUAAAAAGAAAAAAAAAAUCCCAACCCAAGGAAGUUCACCUUAAACAUUUGAACAUAAUAUUGUUUUCUUCCAACAAAAGCCCCAUCAUCUAUGUUUUCAUUGAGCACACAAAAAGAAGGUUUAUUAAUAUCUUGUUUAAGAAGUAUGAAGCAGGAAUAUAAAUUUAAUGAGAGUUUGUUUAUCUGGAUAGAUUAAUGGAAGUUGAAUGAUGAAUGCCUUGCUUUGUGGAACUUGCAAAUUGUUUCUCUAUUUUAACGCUUUAGAUUACUAGGGACUAGUAAUAAGCUGGUUGGGGGGUGUGAUUAGUACUUAAAAGUGCAUGUUUAUCAAGGUUUUAUAUCAUCAUUUUGCACUUGAAGUAUCAAUAACUCCUUAACUAAAGCAUGUUUUAUAAUAACAAGUUUGAUAUUAUAAGAUACCUUAAUUUAUGGUAAAUGCUCAUUUUAAAUGCAGGACUAUCACAUAAAUAAAAGGAUUGAUUGAUGAGUUUAAGCAUUGAAAGUUAAAGGACAAAGAGAUGGCCAAACUUAGAAAAGAGAUGUCGGUGCAGUCCAAACCGGAACAUUGCUCGGUAAUUGGAUCAUAUCUGGAGCUCUAGAUUUCGGAUUUAGGUCCAUUUAUAUGGAUGGAAAGGUAAGACAAAGGCCUACAACUUUCAUGAGGAGCCCAAGAUUUGAAAAGGUCGUUUUUGAAGAACAACGAAGAAGUCCGAAGCUGUCCUGCAGCCCAAACACUAUUUAGUGUUCAGCCCAUAUCUUGAGUUCUAGAAGUCCAAAUGACCUCAUCUUUUUUUUGUUGGAAAGCUGAGACAAUUUCCUAGAACAUUCUUGAGGAUUCUGGGCAAAUUAUGAUGUUAGCAAUGACGUCUUGAUCAGACAAGAAGAUAAGGAUUGUUAUCUAGUCAAGAUGUGGCCACCCACUCAUCAAUUAGUCAACAAAUCAAUAGUUCCAAAUUUUGGCCUAUAAAAGGAGGCACUUACCAUGUAUUGAGGCAUCUUGGUGUUCAGAUCAAGAUCAUGCUCUUGCUUUCUCUCUUUGUAUUGCUUAUGUCUUGCUUUCAUUAAUAUCAAGUUUAUGCACUUCAUUUCCUUUCCUUUCUAGUUAACUUCUUUCUCAUUUAUGUUCUUGUCUUGUCAUUUAUGUUUCUUUCUUUUAUUAUGUUAGCUAAGUUAAUUAUGUCAAGGUGAAAAGGGUACACUAAUGGUGUAAGAACAAGUAUAAUAUAAACUUAACAUGGACCUUAACGUUGGAUACUAACAUGUUUUAUAUUUGUUAUCUUGUUCACUUUAAUACUUUGCUUGUUAAAUGGUUAAUCUAGAUUUAUGUUGUGUAUAACACUUGGUACAACAAAUACUUGGCACUUUCAUAGCCCAUACUGUAUGGUUUAACCGACACCUGAGCUAUGAAAGGAACUUGAUUUGUUGUUAACAUAAGUUAUAAUCAUGAAUGCCUGCCAACAUUUACAAGUAUUAGCUUUAUUCGAAUAAGAUAAUUAAUGUAAUCAUGUUAACAAUUUAUAAUCUGAUUGGAACCUCCUUUAUGUGUGGUUUCCAAUUGAGUAAUAAGAGUUUAUAUUAUACUUGUUUGAAGUACCAUUAGUGGAUCCUCUAACCUUGACAUUUGUUUUUAUCAUUGUUUAAUCCUUACGUUAAUCUUUUAUCUCAAAGUUCUCAUUAAUUUCUUCAUCUUCUGUUUAUAUUAUUAUUAUUAUUUUAUUUAUUAUUAUUAUUUACAUUCUGUUUAUAUUAUAUAAUAUAUAUAUUUGAUCUUUUCAUAAAGUCAGUAUAUAGGCUGGAAACCUGUGACCCGAUCUUUAGAUCAUUCUCAGAUAUAACAACGCCACGUACUGAGUAUAAUAGUUAUUAUUAUUAUUAUUAUUAUUAUUAUUGUUGUUGUUGUUGUUGUCUUGUUAUUUAUAAUUUAUACAAUUAACCUCUCUGUGGUUCGACCCCGGUCUUGCCGGGUUAUUUAUUACUUCGACACUCGUGCACUUGGGAAGAGACAUCAAGCUUUUGGUCGUGUCAGUUAGGACAAUCCCAUAUAAAUUAUGAUGUCUAAUUAUCAACAUAGAAGGAUGAAAUAAAAAAAAUCAUUUAACAUAAAAGGAUAAAAAAACACCAACAAACCUUGAAAAGUUUGUCAAACCUAACGAGUUGGAUCAUGCAAAAUGAUAAUCUAAUAGAAGGCAAAACAUGAAAAAAGAUGAAGUUUAAUUCUAAAAAAAAUCCAAUAUUGAAUGAUAAAAUAAAAAAGAAUUUAAUAAAAAAAUAUUUAAAUCAAUCUGAGCUAACCCGUCAAACUCGAGACCUAACCCUAUAUAUAUAUAUAUAUAUAUAUAUUACUGACUUGAGCAUCGGAGAGUCUUAUAUUCUAGUAGGAGACUUGUCUUGUAGGAGAUUCCAAGUUGUUAGGUUAGUUUUAUAAAUACUCAUGAACUUAGUCUAUAUAUAAAAGCCUAAAGUUGUCAUAUUUUAGGGUUAAGGCUUGUUUGUAAAUGCAUUUAUUCUCUACACUUUGGUGGCUAGAGAGAAAAGAGAAAAUGUGAGUAUUUGGUUACUUUAGGAUCUUGGAUAAGAGAGCCAUUUUAUGUGACACCUUUUAGUCUUCUUCUUUCUUAUAAUGAAUUUUUAUUAUCAUCUUGCUUGUGGAAUAUACCUAAGUUGUCAGACUAUGUAAAUUUCUUUUAUGCUUUUAUAUGAUUGAUGGUGUUUGUUCUUAUAUAUUUCUCUACUUACUGAUUUGUUUAAGAUUCUAGAACUGUUUCAACAAUAAAUUGGUAUCAGAGCUUGCCUAGUUAUCAUUUGGCUUUCAUAAUGGUGAUAAAAGUAACAUCGAUGAUGAAUUUUAAUGAAAAGAAAUUUAAUGGUAGGAACAAAUUCAAUAUGUAGCGUAUUAAUUAAAAUGCAUGCCUUAUUAGUUCAACAAGAUUUAUUUAAGGCAUUAAAUGUAUAGACAAUUUGCUUAAGGGAAUGGAUGAUGAGGAGGAGGAAGAUCUUAUUGAACACGUAAAUUAUGUUAUUUAGCUUUACUUGUUUGAUAAGGUUUUAAGAGAGGUUGUUAAGGAUACUAUAAUUGUUGAAUUGUGGAUAAAAUUGAAAACUCUUUAUAUAACCAAAUCCAAUGAAUUGAUUGUAUCUGAAGUAUUAGUUAUAUACUCUCCGGAUAAAAGAGGGUAUGCCCAUUAAAAACCAUUUUAAUGAAUUUAAUAAAGUAAUUUUAGAUUUAUAAAAAGUUAAUGUUGAAAAUGAGGACUAGGCUUUGAUUUUAUUGUGUUUAUUACCUUCAUCUUAUGAUCAUUUUAUGGAUAUUUUAAUGUAUAAAAAUGAUAUUCUUAGUUUAGAAGAUGCCAAAGCUUCUUUAGGCUCCGUUUGUUUGCUGGAAAGUAGUUUUCUUUUGGAAAGUGAAUUCCGGGGAAAGUAAAUUUCGGGAAUACCCGAAUUUUUAUUUACAAAGUCGUAUGAAAUAGGUGUAAUUGAAUUGGAAAAAUAUAGGGUGUUAUACCAAAUGAUAAAAUAAAUACUAAUAUACUUAGUCAAUACAUAAAAGCCUAAGGUUAUCAUAUUUUAAUGUUAAGACUGGUCAAUAAAUGUCUUCCUUCUUUGUAUUUUGGUGGCUAAAAAGAAGAGGAAAAUAUGUGUUUUGGAUUUCUUUAGAAUCUUGGGUAAAAGAGUAAUUUUAUAUGACACCUUAUAAUUUACUAGUUUCUCAUAGUAAAUUGUCAUGAUUGUACUGCUCGUGAAGUAAACCUAGGUUGUCAAACCAUAUAAAUUAUUUAUGUGCUCUUGUGUGAUUAAUUGUACUUGUUAUUUUAUAUUUCUCUGUUUAUUAAUGGGUUUGAAAUUCUAGAAAUGUUUUUGCAACAAAGGCUUAGGAACAAAAUCUACAUUCUAGUGUAGACACUUUCAGCUUAAAACGUAAAAGCCUCAAUCCAAUAUAAAGUUUUCACAACAUCAUCAAGAUUCAAUUCAAAUCUCUAGGAAUAAAAUCAAAUGACUUUUCCAACCAAACUAGCUAGUCCAUUUCAAACAAUAUAAGACUUCUUAGAUCACUUAUUUUUCAUUUAAAGAAAUACUCUUAAAAUCAUAUAUAUUAUACAAGUUGCAAGUGUAGUCGUAUUAACAAAGACUCUUUCUUUUCGCUAUUGCUCUAUAGUAAACAAAGAGUUGAAGUGAUUACUUUGUGAUAUAAGAAGAGUAAAUGAAAGAACCGAACAUGUUUAUGUUAGGUAUCACUUCAUUCUAACAUGUCAAAGGGUGAUGUAUCGGUGAAUAACAUUGAUAUAGCUAGGAACCUUGCAGAUAUGUUGACGAAGCCUAUCUAUAUAGUCAAGUUUAAGCAUUGCUUGGACUUGAUUGGUUUGUUUAGUACUUGAAAGAUGCUUGGUAGAGGUGCUCAGAUAAGAGUUCAAGUUUUGUAAGUUGUCUAAGUUUAAGCCAUGAUGGAGAUUUAUUUGGUUUGUCUUAAAUUACAAGCUCAAGUGUAAACCCCUGGAUAAUAAUAAUAAUAAUAAUAAUAAUAAUAAUAAUAUGUUAAAUAAGUAAAUGGUGUAUUUGAAUUAAGAAGGUGAUUUUAGAUUUUGAAAACUUGAAAUAAAAUGUUCUUAUAUUAAUUGUAAAACAAAUAAAUGAAAAAUAGUGGGAAAAAUAAAAAACAAAUAGAGAAAAGUAGAUAAAAGAACAAAAGGAAUAGAUAAAAGGGGAAAGAAAUGUUCUAUGAUAUAAUUUAAUAAAAUUAAAAAUGUGUAGUCAAUUUAAACUUGGUAUUAAAAAUGUGUAUAAAUCUAAACAAUAUGACCCGACAAAUAUAAAAGGUACAAUGUAAACCCGUAGCCUAAAAAUUGAUAAAGUAGAGAUAAAUAUGGAGAAUCUGUAUGAAUUUGAGGAGAAAAUAUUUAGAAAAGCAUUUGGAAAUUUUAAAUAAAUUAAUGUAUGGUUUUACGUGCGAAUGGCUUGGACUGCCAAUAUAAACCAUGCAUAAAAUUGCGUAAUUUUUAACCCGAAAAGGGAUGAAACUUGAGGAAAUAUUGAUGAUUUAAUAGUAAAUUGGGAUAAAAUUCACAAAUGAAAUAUUUUGAAAAUAUUGAUGAUUUAAUAAAAUAAAAACAUUUACUAAAAGUGGGGAUUUAGCGUAAAAAUUACAUGUUGUCUAGUUUUACGCUACCAAACAUAAUUAUCAAUCUAACCGUUAGGUCGAGCUAAAAUUUUACAUGGUAUCUCCUAACAUAUGUUUCUAUCUUAGGUUAGGAUUUCAUGUCAAUCGAAUAUCGGAAAGGCUUUACAAAGAAACUGACAGUCGGAUAAUGCUGAAAAAUUACUCAUGGACUCAUCAAAGACAUUUUUGUCAUUUGACCAAAUUCUUCUUCUCUUUCCCUAUAUAGGCUGACAUUCAAAAUUGAAAAAAAAAAAGGAAGAAAAAUUAUAGCCUUUUCAUCUUCUCCUUUUUCAUUCUUUCAUCUUUUUAAUUAGGAGAAAUCUUAUGGAAGCUUGAUUUCUUCAGGUUGUAAGUGUGAGUUAAUGAUCAAAACACAAAACAUCUUAUGGAAGCUUGAAAUCUUAUGGGAUUAGUGCCUUGGAUAAUGGGCAAUCGAAGAAACUAGUUGCUCUAAUUUAUGGAACUAGUGCCCUGGUAAAUGGGUAAUUAGAAAAAUCAAUUAAUUUAGUAAUGGAACAUAUACCCAAUUUGGGCUAGAGAGAGCAAUGACAUGUUUUUAAAUUAUGCUAUUUGUAUUGAUUUAUGAGGUUAAGGGUAAAAUAAUAAAUUAUAUGUUUAGUAAUUGAUGUGGUAAAUUUACGUAAGAGAUAAUAACAAAUAGAAAUGUUGUAUAUAUAUAUAUAAUUUACCCGAAUUUUUAUGUACAACAUCGUAAGAAAUAGGUGUAAUUGUAUUGGAAAAAUACGAGGUGUUAUACUAAGUGAUAAAAUAAAUACUCGUAUACUUGGUUAAUAUAUAAAAGCCUAAAAUUAUCAUAAAGGUUAAGACUGAUCAAUAAAUGUCUUCAUUCUCUACAUUUUGGUGGCUAAAAAGAAGAGAAAAAAUGUCAGUUUUAGUUUCUCAUAGUGAAUUAUCAUGAUUGUACUGCUCGUGAAGUAAGCAUAGGUUGUCAAAUCAUAUAAAUUCUUUAUGUGCUCUUAUAUGAUUAACUGUACUUAUUAUUUUAUAUUUCUCUACUUAUUGAUGGGUUUGAAAUUCUAGAAAUGUUUUUGCAACACAUGCUUAGGAACAAAAUCUACAUUCGAUCCUAGACACUUUCAGCUUAAAACGUAAAAAGUCUCAAUCCAAUAUAAAGUUUUCAUAACAUCAUCAUCAAGAUUCAAUUCAAAUUUCUAGGAACAAAAUCAAAAGAUUUUUCCAACCAAACUAGCUAGUCCAUUUCAAACAAUACAAGACUUCUAAGAUGAUUUAUUUUUCGUUUCAAGAAAUACUCUCAAAAUCAUAUAUAUCAUAUGAGUUCCAAGUGUAGGUGUAUAUAUUAACAAACACUUUUUCUUUUCGCUCUUGGUGUAUAGUAAACACAUAGUUCAAGUGAUUACUUUGUGAUAGAAGAAGAGUAAAUGAAAGAGAAAUAAAUGGAGAAUCCGGUGAGCUAGGGUUAUGAUUUCAAAGAAGGUUGAGAAAUUCCUUUACAAUCAUGGUAAUGAUAAGAUUAAAAUGGAAGAGGAGAAUCCAUUCAGACGUGGAAUGACCAAUAUUUAGAGACUCGAAACGCAACUAAAUUGAUGUGCAAUUGACAUGACCUAACGAAGAAAAAGUUCCCUUCACAUUUGCCCGCUACCAUCAUCCUAUGUACGAAGGAAUCUCGAGACAUUCUUUGUGGGAGGCCAGCCUCCACCCUACAUCAGAUUUGACGCUUCACAAGCCUUUUUUGCUAGCACAUAAUUAGUUAAUUUGUCCAAAUGCAUGUAAAUUUUCCUUUAAGGAGUUUCUUUUGUUUUUUUUUUUUUUUUUUUUUUAGUUUUCAGCACAUUAGUGGUAUUUUAUCAUAUUGUUUGAUGGAGGAGAAGAUCACAAAAGUGAACUGAAUACUUGCGUACUGGUUUUAAGCUAUUAAUAUACAAAAAAUUUCAUGGUAAUCAAGAAAUAACUAUAUUAUUAUCCUAUUAAUUGCUUCUUAUACUUAUCUUGAAAAAUAAUAAACACGAAAAACAAAAAAGAUUAAACAUUUAACAUGCUAAAAAUAAUAAGAAAUUUUUAUCCUAUAGUUGUAUUUAUCUUUUUUCUAAAAUAAAUUAAGAAAUUAACUAAUAAGAUAUCACUAAUUAUUUCCGAGCAUCACAAAAUUUUCUAAUUUUCCAUUUACACUAAAAUUGUUGGACCUCAUGUUAAUCAAGAAUAUCGAUAAUGCAAAUUCUAGAUGAAGUGAAGAGGGUGCGUGUUGCUUGAUUUGGUCCCUCAAAUCCUAAAUCACAGAACUAGUCAAGUGGAAAUUUCUAUCAUGAAUAUGAUUUUAAAAGGGUGCCCUACUGCCUAGCAUCCACCUCUCUCCACCGUUCAAUCCUCUGUGCUUAGAAUUUAGAAAUCAUCCUGAUGAAGGACCAUGUAUGUUUCAUCAUUUUUUGUGAUUUCCAUUUCAACAAUGGGUCACCCAACCCUAGCUACAAUCAAGACCCUCUGCCACUCUGCUAAAGAAGAUGUGAUUUCAUCAUGGAAAGCUUUAAAAUCUAAACGAAUUAAGUUUUUUUCCCCACCAAGGAUCAUGACCAUGCGUAUUGAAUUCAUAAAUGCAUGCCUACUUAAUAUAUAGUUUUUUUCCCACCAUUUUUCUUGUAUAAAAGAAGUUGACUUCAUAAACCAAAUUGGGACUGGUAGGACAGGACCUUCUCGCUGUUCAUUAACCACAAAAAAAAAAAAAAAAAGCUAAAAUUAGCAUCAAUUCAAAUUUCUUUUUAGUUUCAAUACACAGCUUCUCAUACUUAUGCUUAUUUCAGUCUUCUUGGUGGAUUUAUGCUUGCUUCUCAGCCUAAUAAUAUUACGUACAAGAUUCCAUAUAUAUAUAGGGCAAAACGAAAAACACUGUUACAAUGGUAUUAUUAUACAAAUAAUAUUACUUUAAUAUGUAAUAAUACUUCAGCAAAAUUAUGUAUCAGAACUAAAUUGAAAAAACACAAAUAGACUGUUUAAAUGAUAAUUUCAUAUACAGUUUAAAUUUUUUUUAAAAUAUAUUAUUAGUAAAUAUUACAUUGGCUAAAGGGCAAGCUUCAAAAAAUAUGGGGGCAAAUGUUUAAAAAAAUGGGCGAAUUCAAAGUCCCAAGAUUGUUAAGGAAUAUCAUUAUGAAUUUUUCGGAAGAUUAAGGGGAUUGCCUCCCUUCUCUUUUCAUUAGUCCCACCUCUAUCACACAUAUAAACAACCUUAAAAUUUAAUUAUUUUGCCUUGUCGUUAUAUGUGUUCAUGUGCACAUGCAAUAUAUAAUCCUUAUCCCAUUGCCGAAAGAAGACGGAGUUGCUUCAUGGUAAAAGGGGGAAGCCAAGACAAGAAUUGUAGCAGGCAGAGGCAGCCCUUCAGAUUGAUCAGAUCUUCGCACGAGUGGCAGUAACUAUCCACUCGAGAUUUUCCUUUGCGAAGAAAUAUUGCUAUGAAAUCAUGAGGGAGGAGAAGAGAGGGCCGCCCACUAGCAGCAGCUCGAGAUUGACUCAAGAUCUGCCCGGUCGGACACCACCACAAUUCUUUUCCCACUUGAAUAAUUUACCUUUCGUUCUCACUCCAGAACGAGAGAGAGAGAAAGAGAGAGAGAGAGAUUAUCUUGUGAUAACAUCAUGAACUAUUCCCGUCGAAGACAUUCUCCUCUAGCUUUGAUUGAGUAAAACAAGUUACCCCACCUUAAUUCUUCAACAAGUUGCAGAUCAAAUCUCAGUGACGUUCAUAUGAAGAAUAAAUAACUCCAUUAUAUAUAGUGUGUAUGUAUAUAUAUAUACACGCAUAGUUCAUCUAUUCAACUAAACUAACUUGCAGGAGCUCGAACCCAGAUUUAUACUCGAUCUACAGAUUCGAUUCUUGAUAUGAAUAUUGCCCUUCUUUCUUUCCUGAUGACAUCAUAUAUAGUUAGUGUCGGUGCCAUGCAUGCUGGUGUGAAGGCUCAACCUAAGUAGUUAAGAUAUAUAACUUGUAAAGUAACAUUGCAGCGAUCGAGUUGGAAUUUGAUUUCAGAUUGAGGUUAUCGUCUCAUUGAAGAUGCAGAACACGAGAGACAAAUAAAGGAAGGUCCUUCCAUGCAUAUGCCUGGGUGCUUGUAGACAAAUAAAGGAGGAGCAUGAAACAUGUAAAGUGGCGAUCCCGAGGAACAAAAUGAAGGAGAUCCCACAUUAAAGAGAGCAGCCUCGAAUAAUACAGAUACCCACAUAUCAUAUCCUCCUAGCCUCAUCAUGAUAUGGUGAAAAUCAUCUUAAUUAUUACUCUUCAAAAGUCUCUCGAGGUCUCCGACCUCCGAGGUGUAAAAACACUAAGUAUAUGAAAAUAUAACAAAAGUAAAAUAAAAUAAAUAGAGUUAGAGAGGGAUUAAUGAGCUUCCUAGGAAUGGGCUUAGAAGUUGGGUCGAGGCCUAUUUUCUAUCUUUGAAGUUUUUCUCCACUUUGAUUUAAAUUUAAAUUCAAUAAAAAAAAAAUUUAAUAAGGUAAAACAACAUCUUAAUGAAGGAUUUUUUAAACUCAAAUCGGCUCUUGAAAAUUUUUAAUUAAAAUUCAUUUAAAUCAAUAAUUAAAAAUACAUUUGAGAUAUUAUUUACUAAAGCAUGAUUCAAUUUUUAGUUAUUUUUUUAAUAAGAUUAUAAUAUAUUUUUUAUAAUAUUAAUAAGCGCUUUUUUAUACAACCAUUCAUGAUAUUUUUUGUUUUAGAUUUUAUUCAAUCACUUUAUUUUACAUGUUUAUUUUUAUUAAAAUAUAAUUAGAUCAAAAACUUAAUUUCAAAAACAAAAUUUUAUUUUAUUUUACUUUUGUUUUAUUUUCAUAUACUUGUUAUGUUUUGAAGUGUUUUGUUAUCUCUAGUGUAUUACACCUUGGAGAUCGGAGACCUCAAGAGACUUUUGGCAUGGCAAUCAUAUAUUCUUACAAACAUAUGAAUUGUUAGUAUGACGCCAUCUUUGUCACCAAUAGUUAUCUCCUGUCAACCUGUCUUUUCAAUAGAUGCUUAUCUUUCUCACCAAUAAGAGUGGCACCAACCCUUUAAGUAUAAAGUCUACAUAGCUUUAGAUACAUGGUAUGAGUAUUGUUCUCCAUCAUUACUUGACAUGGUGUUUGCAACUCCAUACUCUAAAAUAUAAUUUUAUAUGAUCGAGAUGUAUAAAUAUCUUAAAUCACUAAUAACAAAACACAACUCCACAACAAUGUCACACAUAACAACAUACACUCUCAUAUGUUUUUUUUUCUGUCGUUAUAUUUCUCUUCUUGCAAUUUAAUGAUUUAAGUAUUAGAUAUUCUCUAUCCUGAUAUGGAACUUUUUUUUACAAAAAACAAAAUAUAAAAUAGUUAAAUCUGGACACUUCAGCCACUUAAAGUAGUUGUGAAAAACUCACAUCUAAUCUAAAGUUUUUUACUUCAUUAGAAUUUCUUUCAUCAAAUGUAAUUCAAUAACACAGAAUGAUUUAUUUCAUUAUUAAAAUAUGUUCAACCAUUAAUUUUCUUUCUUGUUCAUUGUUUUUUUGGCAACUCUCCCUCUCGACUCUCAAAUCAAUUAAUUGAAAAAUAACAAAAUGAAGCUUUGAACUAAAACAAAAAUUAAAAAGAAAAACAAAGGAACCAAAAUAGAAAAUGAAACAAUUCAAAGGCAAAAAAUUUCAAAAAUGUGUGAUUUGAACAUUACAAAAAAAAAAAAAAAAACCUUGGGGUUAUAGCCCUCAAUUUUCAAAUUUUUUAAAGCAACAAGAUCAAUUUUUUAAAAAAAAAACAAAAAUUGAACAUCAACUAAAUAUUAUGAUAUUUCUUUGAGACCUCCAGAGCCUUCUAGCAAGCAAAUCAAAUUAAUUUUGUAAGCACAAAUAAAAAAUAAUAGUGUCCAAGGAUUAAAUUAAACAAAAAGUAUGGUGAUUGAAAUUUUAAAAAAAGAAGUUCAAAGGACUAUAAAAACACAAAGCAUUGUGCCAGUAAUCAGUGCUUUGUUAAGGGAUAUAUAGAGAAUUUCCUAUGGUAUUUAGUUUUUUUCCUUAAUCUGAAAUCUAUAAACUCUCGAACAUGAGGAGUUUCAUUUUAUUAUGGUUGUGUUAUUAAUUGUGGCCUUACGGUGAAGAAUCAAUAAUUUCUCUUCUUUCUGGUGACGGAAAUGAGGUUACUGAGAAGGAAGAUUUGGUAAAAAAAUAAACAUAUUCGAUAAACAAAAUAUUAAAUUGAGGAUACUUCACUAGGUUUAUUAACAAAGAGAGAGUAAGUUGGUAAUAAAAUAUGAAACUACAAGGGUUAUUUAAGUUUUUUUUUUUUUUUUCAUUGAAGAAGGGCUAAACAAUUCGUUUCUAAAAACUAUGAAGACUAAUUUAUCAUUAACUCCAGCAAAUUUAGACCCAAAAUUGGGUUUUCAAACAACAAUCAACCACAACAAAGGCUUUCGCAACCAAUACGGACGGUUAGGAUCACACACUUGGAGCACUUGGAAAGUUGGAAGUUAGUAGAAAAGCACUGCUACAAGAAAACUGACAAUCAAUUAUGGACCUCGUUUACGAACAGACCAAUCGGGUUGACUUGCAAGAACCAACAAUGGGGUUUAACACUAUAGAAGCCACCCAUCGACGUAUCCACCAGUAUACAAUUUAUGACACAUUUUUUUUAUUACCAUAUUUGCCUACAUAUGUAUCAUCGACUCAAUGUGCAUGGUUUGUCUACAUUAUGGGAAGCAGAAGCAACAUAAUUAGGACCCACACACAAAAAAAAAAAAAAAGAUGCCUGAAAAUGGAGCUUUGAUUGCAUUAAAUAAAAGAAGAUAAAAAGGUUUUAUACAUUUCACAAGGAAAAAUAAAUUUCUAUAACUACUUGAAUCCCUUAUGGGGUUUGAUUUGAAAUUUACCUUCAGAAGUUUGGUGUCCAGUUGAGAUGGCCUAACUGAGGUUGCUGAUAAGCACCCACUUGUGCCCCGGGAGCAGAUGGGGCAACCCCAACUCCAACAUUGUUGCCCAUAACAGGACCCAAAUGGUGCGGACUUGCCAUUGCAGUUGGCUGUGGAGGUGGAUACAAGCCUGGGAAUUGCAUGUGAGAAGAUUGUGCUGCAGCCGCGUUGAAGGAGGCAUGGCCAGUGUGGGAUGGCAAAUACGCAGUAUGUGUUUGCCCAGGGAUGUUAUAGUACGGCGACGAUUGCAAGCCUGGAAGAUCCCUUGGGUUCUGAAUCCAAAUUUCAGAUGACUCAGCCUGCAACAGCAAAUGUAAAAAAGGCAAUCAACAAAGAGGUGAUGGACAGACCAAUUCAUGUAAUUACUCAGUUAGCCAUAAAAGUAAUUAAAUGUAAAGUCAGAUUGUCAUUACCGACAAAGAACUUUUACCUGUGGGUUGGGAACAUAAAUGUUUCCAUCUUUGUACUUCAUCCGAGAUGGGUCUUCAAGACCUGUUGCACUUCCAACCAAACCAGGAGCAUUUAUAGCAUACCCACUUGGACUUGUAAAAUUUCCAAAACCAGCAGGAUUGCUGCUAGGAACUGGUUUAUAGUGCUGGAUUCCAUACUUGAGGCCAUUUGCAUUAAGAUGGGAACCACCUCCGGGCAUCAGCAUGUAGCUGUUUCCAUUUGAUGGAUGUGGGUAUGCAGGGUUGCUAGAGUAGCCAGGCAUGGGCAUUGGUGGAACAUAAACAGGAGAGAUGAACUGCCGAUAUGGCAUGAUAUUUGUGAAAGGUGAGACGUGAACUUGCGGGUACAUUUGAGCCAUUGGAGGCUGCUGUUGCAUUGUGGGCAUUGUUGAUGUAGGAAUGUGGUUGCCUGAAUGGAUGGUUAAGGCCUGAAGUCAUAAGGUAAUGAAAAUUAAUUGACGCCAUACUUACAUAUAAUAUAACUUAGUGACUAAAAAGGAAAGUUUUCUUCAAAGCACAACUGCUUUCCCAAGUGUCAGUCUAUAACGAGAGACAAUUUCCACCGCCACAUGCUACAUAAUUAUGCAGAACGAUACUGACAACUGCUAUUUACCCAUUCACAUCAAUAAAUAAGGAAACUGGGUUUGUGCACAUUUGCAAGCAUGCAAGUUAAUAUGCAAUGAAGAUUUUGAGGACCAUGCUACCUUGCACAUCUAAAAGUAUUGUAGCAGGUAAAUUUACCUCGCGUGGAGAUGGUUGACCCUGUCCUUGUACCGUUUCAUCAAUUGGGGGUCGGAAGUAUGAUAUAUCAUAGCCAGUCUGGGGAUCAUAUGCCUGCUUGCACACAAUCACAUCAGAAUGCUAAAAAAAAAAGGUAUGGAAAAGACCAUGCAAUGAAAACUGCUUUUUUUAAUUAUUUCAAAUAAAAGCUGUCAACACUCUAAAGCAACUUGCUAAGCGUUAAUUUUAAGCUGGCAUAUAACGUUUCAUUAAUCCAAGGAGUGAACUCACCGAAAAGCUUGGUAACUCAGGAUGAUCUUGCUGCUGUUGUGACUCUGAAGGAGCAUAGGAUGGACUGCUGUUUUGAACCAAACCAAUAUCAGCAUAAUUAUCCAAGUCUGGAGGACUUGAUGACUCCUCAGGCAAUUGAUGUUCAGAAGCUAAACCAGCUUCUGGACAAUCAGACUCAGAAUUUCUUGCUUGAUCGUCUAGCAACUCGAUCUGCUUGCCACCAGGUGCAUCUUCACUGGAAGACUCCGGACAAGAUACUGGUAAACUGCCAUCACAUUUACUAUUUCAUGUUUAGCACAAAUUAGAGCACUGAACUUGGCAUAGCAUUUUUCAUGUUAACUAUGUUCAAUCAACUGCUUUUAAUAUGUAAUUUUCUACAGCUUUUUUAACACACUUCUCUUUUCUUUUCUUUUCUUUUUUUGUCCUUUUAAUUUCUACUUGAAAACUCCUAUCUUUACUCUUCCAGUGAUAGGAUACUUGUACUGAUGCUAUUACAUUACUACAUUUACCCUAAUUAUUAUUUAUCAGCAAUAUUUCUGACUUUGUUUGCUUAAAUUUAUUUACUGCAAUAGCGAGUGUUCAGAGCAAAUGACCUUAACACCAUUCACAUUGAUAGACAGUAUGGAACUCAUCUGAAGACUGUUAUAUGGAAACAACAACAUUCCAAAGCUUUCCCAAUUCAGAUAUCUUAAUUUGCAAAACCUCUAGAUGUAAAAGACUGCAAAAUAGAAAACUGACCUGAUGGCAGAUUCCCUGUUUGAUUCUUCUGAAAUUCCUACUGCUUGAAAUCCAGGUGUAGAAUUCCUGGAAGGAUCGAAUUCCACUCCAAAACUACCAAAGGUCAGCUUGCACCUAUCACUCUCAGGGACUCGAAUAUGUUGUGCUAUGAUUACAUUCUGAUUUUCAUGAAUGUUUACUCGUGAAAACUUGUCCUGCAUUUUAGCUGCAUUCAAUUCCAUGCUCUUCGAAUUAUCUGUGGGAGGCGAACUGGAUUUUGUUGGUGUUCCAAUAACUCCAGGGCUAGUAAUACUUGAUUUCUGGCUCGACUUUGGUUUCCACUCUUUAUUAUGCUGUGAAGCUGCACAAAAUUUUUUGGUUAAAUAAGUCCCAUAAAUUUCAGAAAAUAAGCAGAGCAGUCCAGUCAUUGCAAGUUUUCAUUAAUGUUCCUCGUACUUAUAGGUGUACAAACUACAGAAAGAAGCUAAUAACUCAAAACUAAAAUUAAAAAGCUGGAGAAUUUUCAUUCAUUAAAAUUAAUAAUGAAAUAUGAUAGAAUGAGAUUAAGCACAGGGGAAAUUAACAGUUAACAUCAAAACCCUAUUAGGUCAUUUAUAUCAAUUUUCAAGUACGAAGCCCCUUUGCAGCGAAGGAGUAUCACUAAGACACUCCAGAAUCUGGACGACAUUCAAUGCUCAACAAUCUAAACCCUUGAAGAAAUAGCAUCAUUAAAGCCCAGUUGUGAUGUAACACAUGCCGUAAUAAUAGUACUCAUGUUCAUAUAGAAAUCACGCCAUAAUAACAACCAUGAGUAGGAAGAUUAAGGUAAAUAACGAGUGAUUUUCAGAUGUCAAAAAAAAAAACCAGAAAUGGAUGAUUCAAAGCAGAAAAGGUCAUCACAGACUUUUGCUAUCAAAACAGCAGCAAGAACAAUUUAAAGGACAGUUAUCUAAGAAAAGAACUUAUGGAAGAUGUAAAACCUUUUGGAUGACCCACAGUUUGUUGAUGAGGCCUGCUGUUAUACUGGUUGUGCAAGAAUGAUCUGUUAACAGGAACGCUGGGCAUUGAUUCAAUCGCAGCAGUUUGACUGACUUGAUCGGUAUUAGAUAUUGCAGUUAAAGGAUGAAAUGAUUCUGAGAAUGAAUUACUUGAUGACAAAUCUUUGACAGCAUUUUCAGACUGCCGGCGACCACCCACCACCCCAACCUCACGCUUAAUCGCCCCAACAGCACCAGAUGAUCUAGAAUCAGGAGACGGCACAUGCACAGGAUCUGUCGAGGAGGAGUACACCCCAACAACAGAAUUGCUUGAAGCUAGCGAUGCAUCAUGUUGUUGAGAAUUAUUGGGUUUCACCACUUGUGCCCGUGAGGUAGUAGCAUUAGAAACUGUAGAUCGCUUUUCCUCUGAUACCACUUUCCUAUCACCAACCCUUGACUUAGCAUCUCUGUUGUAUCUAGGUUCAGGAUCAGCAGGCCCAUAAGAAGUUUGAGAUGAACUUUGUGCAUUAGAAGGCUUUAAGUUGUUGUUUGACAUUCCUGUUGAACUGUUAAAAGAAAAAUAUGGAUCUUGUUCAAUUCCUUAAAAAUAGUCAAUUGGAUUUUCAACUGAAAGUAAAUAAUGAUUCAAUAGCAUAGUACAUAGGAACGAUCACUUGUAUGAUGCAAAGCAAAACCACAGUGGAAUUCCUUCAUUGCUUCUUUUUUCAGUAAAAGUUAAUAUUCAACUCUUUAAUAAUAGUCACCAGGUUCCCUUUUGUUUUCUACUGUGCCUUCUAAGUUAUAGCCCUAGUAACCAAAGAUUUUCUCAAAAUAAUAACUUUCAAGGUGGAAACUAAAUGGAGAAAGAAUAUCUCAUUAAAAGGAUACCCAAAAAUCCUCUAUUCUCUCAAUUUCUUUUUUCCUUUCCACAAUAUCUCAUUGAAAGUCCUAUUUACCCAGGCUCUGUUAAGUUUGCAAAAGAAAUACCCCAGUGGAAAUUAAGGGUUUCUUCAUUAUCUACAAUGCACUGUUUAAAACCAGAAUAAUUGUCAAUUGAACCUAGGCACCAAGAACAGGUACAGGCUUUACAUGAAAAUAAAAUUAGCCUAUCAGCUCAAAUUUGAAAAAAAUAAAAUAAAAUAAAACCCCUCAGUUUUGUCUAGGAAAAAAACGUGGACAGAGAGGGGGCAAAGGAGUGAGGUGAGAGAAAGUAAAGGAACUGAACAAAAGAGAGAAUAUUUUCCCAAGGAAACAAAAACAGAGAAUUUAUCUUUUUCUCACCUAAUUAACUGAAGAGGUCUGCACUGUAGGUGCUCAAGGGCCACCUCAUGUAAGCCUACGUAAAAGCACCUACCCUAGAAGCUUAGAAACACAUUGACUUUGAGGCUUUUUAGCACUAUUCCUUAUCAGCUAAGGUUGUGGGUUGGGAAACCUAGUAAUUUGGCAUGAUUGCAUGUAUGCUUUCAGGUUGGUGAAAAUACACAUAAUAUAACAGUAACACUAACUGCAUUAACAGAACCCUGCAUGCUCGGAUGACACCCAAUGCUUUUAGAGCUUGUUGCCUUUCUUUUUCCAAAAAAUACAAGUAAAAUUUAACAUUUAUCCUAGUUAUGUAGCAGCUACUUAUUUUAACCGUAAAAGUGAAACUUAUAAGCUAUAACUAAGUUCACAAUGUCACUUCAUGACCAUUGCUAGUAGAAUGGAAGCUCUCAAGCUGAGGACUGUGGUUUACCAAGGUCAUGAUCAUAUCAAAUCUGUCUUAGUUCAGAAGCUUGAAUGUUUAUGUGAAAAUAUAAACAAAAUGAUUUUGCACCAGCAAAGAUUGCUAGCAUUUGUGAAAAUAAUUACCAGACUAGCAUUUUGGACUUGGGCAUAAUAGGGCCACCAAGAACAACAGCAAGGGUAAGGAGAUGAAAACAAACAGAAAAACAAUGGCAUUCAAAGUUUGUGAAAGAACCUGAAAAGGCAUACCCUUUUUCUGUAAGAAAUCCACUGCCUUUCUCCUUUGCUGAUGUUGAACCUUGUGGCAAAGCAGGCUUUGGUUCUCUAUUUGCAUUUUGAUUAACUCUGUUGUCUCUCACGACACGGAAUUCUCUGUUGACUCCUCUAUUACCAAUCGAAUCAGUUCGUGUAUGGCCUCCUCGUCGAGCAUAGCGAUCCAAAAAUGUACGGGGUCUCAUCCCUUGACCAAAAUUCUCAGGUUGUUUUCUUGAAUCCACAGAACCCCUGUAACUCAUACUCUGAGGCCACAAGCAUGUAAACUCGUGAGUAAAAUGUUAGAUCGGUGCAAGCAUUGACACGUAAAUUAAUGCAAUAACAGUUAAAAACACUUAAACUUCAAUUUGAAACAGGAUUGUAUACCUUUUAAUCAAAGACCUUAAUCCAUGUAAAUUAUGUUCAAUCUUAGCAGCUGUUCACCCGAAUGUAUUUAAGAAUUUUUGACAGAAGAAAAAUUAAUUAAUUGUGAUGCAAGAGACCAUAGAUACGAGAAUUAUGAGAGCACAUUCUCCGAACAACAAAACUCACGAUAUGACAUAUCAAAACAAAAGAGACUUCAACUCCCUCUGAAUGUUUGAAAUUGCAAAUUGAAUUGGAUAUAAGAUUUCCUUGAAUCCUGUAUUGCAUAAUUAAUUAAGAGGUACUAGAGACAAAUUCCUUAAAUGUGAACAGUUGCAAAUUCUUAAAUGGCAUGGUCUAAUAAGUUCAUAUUGGACUAAUUGAACAUAAUAAUAAAGCAGAAAAUUUCAAUCUGAAAACACAGAAAAUAAUGCAAUGUCAGAUGUUAAUUCCAAAACUCUAAUGAAUUUAUAGAAUCAAAUGUCUAGCAAUCAAUGAUGAUGGAAAUUAUGUGAGAAGAAUUUAACAGAUCAGCACUUUCCAAAUGCUAAGCAUAAAGCAUAUUGUGUGACUCCACUACAAUAAGUAAAAAUUCACAAAUGAGAUCACAUUAGCAAUAGCAUAAAUAUCAAUUGGGAAAAAUGAUCAAGACAACAGGACAGCAUUCAAUUAGGAAAGAUCACAAAAUCAUACCUCUUUCUUCUUAUCUCUUUUUCUCUUCACCUCAUGAAACGGAUCUGAUAAGAAAAUCAAAUAAAAUUCACUUGAAUAAGAGGGUUAUACAACUAACACAUCAAAAUUAAAUACUUUCAAAAAUGACCAAACCAAAAAGGUAGCCAACAUAAGUCAGACAAGGAAAAAUCACAGCACACAAAGAUACCAUCUGAUAGGACUAAUAAGAAGGUUCAAGAAACACAGAUUUGUAUUUCCAACAAGCUAAGAUGUUUUCUGAAAGAAGUCAUGGGUAGUUACAGCCAUCUUCCUAACCUCCCUAAAACUCAAGCGAUAUCCACACACAUCAUUGAAGAGCAUCAGCUUAAUAACCAACCAACUCACCUAACUUCCAUGACAGGGACCAUAAGCAAAUGAACAUGGCUCAGUGAUGAUGCACCACAGACCAAGCAUGAUGAACUAUAAUGAACCUUUGAGCAGUCUACAUUAAAGUAACUGAAAAUAUGGAUGGCGGAUAAUCAAUGACACUCAAGACGGACAUAUUUCAUCCAAUGCUUUGACAAAAGUAUGAACUAAACAUGCCAAUCACAUUAAAAUCAUGUUCCAGAAAAUGCACAUCAAUAGAACUAUAAUUUUGGCAUUCUCACACUGACAGCAUUCUCACAUCAUAGAACAAUCUGCUGAUGACUUCUACUACAUAUAACAAUUAUCAUUAACCUCCAAAUCAAUAUUAUAAGAAAACAAUUUUACUUCAAUAACAUAUGCAUAAUCUAAUAACCAUUACCUCUUACCUCGCCCUUUUACUCUUGCCAAACAAAGAAAAAUUAUAUACCUCGGAUGGUCUUUUCACCCCCUUCUAUAAUUCCCCUCCAUUCCUUUCCACUCUAAAACCCCAAACACACCUUCAAAAUUUACUCUUCACCCCAAGUACAACGCAAUUCCAAUGGACCAAGAUAACAAGAAGAAAAAAAACUUUUGAGAGGUCAUUAGUUUUUCAAGUCCUAGCACAUUGACAACUGCACACUCACUUCUAUAAUAAAACAUCAACAGAAAGCACCUAAUACCCACUGCUCAAAACACAUCACAAACACCAAAGCACACAAAAACGCAGCAAAACUAAACAUAACGUCGUGACAGUGAAAAACCCAAUAGAGGCCAUCAAUUUCAACUUCCAGACUGGAAAACAACACAGAACAAAAAAAGGCCCAUUACUUAUAAAACAAGCCAAAAACGCCAGAACCAAAGCCAAAAAGAAUUAACUUGUAUUUAAAAAUAAAACCCUUAGAACCUGGAAAAUAAAAACAUCAUUCUUCAGCAUAUGCCCGUUAUUUUCCAACUUGCAAAGUCUAAAUACUUCUCACAGGAAACACGCACGCACAACAACCAUCAGUCAACACAGCAAAAAAUGAAUAAAUAAAAAAAACGCAGACCUUGACUGAGCAGUUUUUGAACGGUCUCAUUAGGAUCCAUGUUGGUCUCUUUAAGGACCAUAUAAAUAUCAGCAUCAGAGAAAUUUCCCACAAUCUCUUUAAUCGAUUGUAUAAUUUUCCUCACUCUCGCUGACAGUGUAUGCUGCUGCUGUCGUCCACUACCAGCACUACCACCACCAGUAACGGCAGAAGUAGCAUCAGUUGUAGCAACAAUUUCUCCCAUGUCUCUCGAUAAUCAAAUAAGAAAACUAAAAUAGUAGUAAUCAGAAAUGUUUUGGGUAUAAUAAUAAUAGUAGUAGUAAUAAAGAUAGAGAUAUAGGGAGAGGUUAGGGUUAGGGUUUUGGGGGGUUUUUUAUUAAUUUAUUGAAGGGGAGGGGAAAAGAAAGGGAAACAGAAAGGGGCUUUGGAAGAAGGAAGGGUUGGGCUGGGAGGGUUAUGUUUAUGAGUUUUGAUUUAAUUCGAACGAGGGUUUUUGAAAAUCUCUUGUAUCCAUCUCCCUCUGCUGUCCCUUUCUUGUUAUCCCGGAUUUGCCCCUUUUUUUAACUUUAUUUCCAUGUUUGCUCUUUUGUUUUUCUUUUCUUGAAGUUUUUUUUUUCUUCCUUUUUCUUCAAAUGAAAAGGCUAAUAUGCGUGCUUUCAAUUUUGAUGUCUAAACUUUACUGAUCCUGUCAAUUCGGUACAUCAUUGUUUUUUUCUUCUUUUUUAACCAAAUUCCAUAUUGUUUAGAAUUCAACAACGUGAUUUUGGAUGCUCACCAGAUAACUGUUUCGCAUUUGUCUAUCACUAGCUUUUAAACCCGACAGGUGAUUAACUCCACUCAAGAUCCAAAUUAUAAAUUUUGUUCGGUCACUAGAUUUUAAGCAGGUCAACUAUAAUUUUUUUAUAAAUCAAAACGAUGUUGUUUUGGUUAAAAAAAAAUAUAUAGUCAAUAGAUCAUAGCCAAGUUUUUUACUAGAUCUUGUCGGGUCAACUAGGUCAUCGGGUCACCCGGGUUUUUGACUUCCCUUAUUUUUUUCUUAAACUUGAGCUGGGUUUUAAAAUUAUGGUCUAUUAUGCGCGGUGCGGAUUAACUUCUUUGUAUUGUUGUUAACUAGCCAACUCACACGCGCUUUAUUACGGGUCAGGUUUGAUGUGAUCUAAAAAAUUCUAAGUGAUUUAGGAGUAAGGUUUAUGUAUUGGAUAAUCGGUUAAUCUUUUGGUUCUAGCAAUCUGAUCAAUUCUCUCUGGCCAAGGUGAUUGAUAGCUUAUACAUAGUGCCUAGUAGCUAAUACCUACAAAAAAAAAAUUAGAUUUGAUGGCUCUCGUAUGCAUAAGUAAAUAUCUUUUUAAUAAUAUCAAUGAGUAAUAAAUAUUUCCUUACACACCAUUAAUGAGAGAUAAAUAUCUCUUACACAUCAUUAAUAUUGAUGGAGCAAUGGUAGGUUUUUAGAAGAUUUUUAUACAUCUAAGGGUUUUUGAGAGAUGACCUUAAAAUUUUAUGUUAAAGAUUACAAGAAUAAACAAAUGAAAUCAUGUGGCCAAAUAUGGGACCUAGAAAGAUUGUUAGUUUUAUAUCUAGUUGGGUUUGGCAUGAUGUUGAGCCUAGAGAUGUUGAGUCUGACAUCUUGUCAAACCCAUGUGUUCUUAGCAUUGAACCUAAUAAAGGUAGGUAUGACAGCUCACCAGACAUGUAUAUAUUUGGGCUCAAACAUGUGGGUUUGGUGAACUGCUAGACUUGACAGUUUAACGAAAAAAAUAUAUGGGCAUUGUUAAUGUAUUCUCCCACAUAAAAAAAAAAUAUUGAACUAAAAUGUUAAUACUUAGUAACCCCUAAGUCUUAUGUAUUAAAUACCUAAAGAUUUGGAAGGCUAUUAGCUUCAAUGAAAGUCUUUUUACAUUAGAAUUGUAUGUCCCAUUAAUGAGAGAUUUUUUUACAUUUCUCGUGAGAUUUAUUUCUCCCCUGUAGAAUUGUUGGGAUUCAUUGUAGUCAGGUGGUUUGUCCUUAUUAAAAGAGGUGUUAUUUGGAAAACAAAAUGGUGACGUGUAUUCAUUGUAAUAUUUAAGUAGAUUUUUAGAGAUCUCAGAUGACAUGAAAGGUCAUUCAUCUAAUACUGAGGGUGAAAAGUUAUUUCCUUUAUAAUCCUAGUCAUUCUUACUUCCAUCUUUUACUCUCUGUAACUUUUAUAGAAUAGGUUUGUUGAAAAAUCUCUAAGCCUAUUUUGCCUUAAAUUGAGAAGAAAAUGUUUUUCUAGGUAUUUCCCACCAAAAACUUUUUUUCCUUCUUUUUAAACAGUAAAAUGGACCCAAAAAGAAUUCGAUUUAUCCCUAGAAAUAGGGAUAUUGUCGCAGCCUUUGGGUGAGGAGUUCAUGUUCCAACCUGAAACUAGGGAAAAGGAUCCAUCAGACUGGGUCCCAAAACUAAAGGUGAAACCUUAAUUUCUACCUCUAAUAUGGGGAAAGUAGUUCUCUCUGUUAGAGAAGUUCUUUUCUUGUUAUUACUAGGGAACCUCGAGGGAAAGAAAGGUUGCAUCAAGCCCUUAAAGAUGAUGCCCCUAACACAAUGUGUCAUAGCCUUACCCAACUUGUCAAAUAUUGUCUGUUUUGGGCCUUAUUAUCCUCACGGAUUUGUUCUUGAUAACCACUCAUGGCCAUGUCACAACCCCGCCCAACCUGCCAAAUAUUAUCCGCUUUGGGCCUUACCGCCCUCACAGAUUUGUUUUUGGUGGCCACACAUAACUCUAAAACAUGUCUUUCAAGUCAGUAACUAGCACUAUUAAUAAGACUAGCUACCAAAUCCUCACCCGCCGAUGUGGGAUAUUACACAUUGGGUGCAAACAACAUGGCAUUUGUUAAUGGUCAGUAACUAAAAAAGUACAUAGCUUAAAUGUCUACUAGGGCUAAGCGUGUAAGCCAACAAACCUUAGGCUCUAUUUAAGGUUAAUUUGAAAUUAUAACCCCUUUUUUCAUGCAUGCAUUGGGGUAUUCCUUCCCUCUUCAAAGGUUUAUGGGGGAAGUUUUCAGAUAUUACAAAUUGGGACCAGGUCAGCUACACCCUAAUGGACGAAUAAUCUUACUCACCUUUGAUAAGUUUUUUAUGCUUGUCGGAAUUAAGCCUACAAUCAACGCCUUUAUGACUUGUUACCAUCUAUACAUUAGCAUCGAUGGUGGCAAUGACAUGUUUUGUUCUUUACCUUCACCAACAAAACAUGAGCCUUAAAGAUAACCUUGUAAGGAAACAUGCGCUUGUCAAUAAAUAAAAGGGGUGGAUAAUUAUAGGCAUACUAGGCCAAUCAUCCCUAGAGAUGGGAUGCAAUAGAUCUGGGGUUAUUCCUAUUAUUGGAAGGUACCACCCUUGCUAUGAACAGUAGGCCUCGUCUAAACUUGGAUGAGGAGAAAACAUGUGUUGUGUUUACAUUGACCUCAAUCGAGUACGCAUCAAUAGAAUGGUCAAAAGGUAUUAUCAAGCCAUGUUGCAAAGUAUAUAGCUUUAUUUUUCCUUGUUUUUUUAUGCAUUUAAGUUCAUUGUUGACUUUGUUUUUGUGUGGGAUUGACAAUUAAAGAAGAAGGAGAAACUUCAAUAAGGUCUGUAGACGAGAUUUCAAAAAAGGGGUCUUCAUCUCUUGACUUGACUAGAGGCAGGGCUAGAAAAGAUACGGAGGACAACCCCAUCAUUAUAGAUGAACUCUAUGUUUUUAAGGACAUUGUUCAUAAGAAAACAAUGACGAGAUCCAAAACUCCAAUAGAAAAGAAAGGUAAGGUCAAGCAUAUCUGACUUCCUCUUAAGGAAUUGUGGGCAUUGCUGCCUAUUUUAAGAAAAAAAAGGUCUUCAUCCCAAUGGAGACUAGUAUUUCAUCCUCGCCUAUAAAAGGCUUAUAUAAUAACAAUUCAUUUGUCGUCACCCUUAAUCUUGCAUUCAGAGGCAACAACUGUUUGGGCCCUUUACUUGGAAAAUUCUCAAGGAUACUAAACAAAGAUUUGAGGAUGUUUUUGCUAGCCUCGUUCUCAGUCAGACUCCUUUCAGUUUCCCUACCUGGACUGAGAAAGUGAGGCAAGUCAUGAAGGAUGUUGUCAGUUGGAGGUUUGGCCUUGGAGAGGCUGUUGUUAGUGGGAGGUUUGGCCUUAGAAAGGCUAGCCUCGAAGUGGUGAGGAAGCUUAAAAGGAUUCUCAUCAUUGUUUUAAACAUCUUCAUAAUUUCUGAUGAGAACUACAACCAUCAUUUGACCCUUAUAGGACAAAUGACUUUUAAAGAAAGGAACUCCCCUGUUUGAACUUCUUAAUGUGGUUUUAAGAUUAUUGUUCUUAACAAUUUUGUCUUUGACAAACUUUCAUGAUGUGCGUCCACUCUAAGAGAUGUUAGAUGGCUAAAAGGAACCAUGCAAUGGAGGCCAUUGACAAACACAAGGUAGAGAAAUGAACAAGAUGAACGACCAGACUGCCCUCUAAUAACUAAGGGAAGAGAAAGUUAUUGUGGAAGCUGAGCUGACAAGCCUUAAGGUAGCUUAUGACUCGUUGGAGGAGAGUCUCCAAGGUGUUGUCCUUCAGUUGAGCUCCACUUAAAAAUAGCUUUGGGUGGCUUAGAGCAUCUCCAAUGGAGAAGCUAAAUGGAUAGCUAAAACUAAAAAACUAAUAUUUUAGCUUUUCUUUGCUUGUUUUGCACACUCCAAGGGGAAAGUCAAAUAAAAUGCUAAAAUGUCUUUUCUCUUCCAUAAAUAUUAUUCCUACAUAUCUUUCCAAAGAGCCAAAACAAUAAAGUGGAGCCACUAAAAAAAUAAACCAAUUAAAUAUAGCCAUGUGGAAAAAAAAACAUCAAACUUAUUAAAAAAUAAAAAAAUAUUUGUUUCUUCCACUCCAAUAUAAAUGGCUCUUCAAAUGGCUUUUUUCCAUUGGAAUAGAUAUAGUAAAAAAAAUCUAUAUUUAUACUAUUCAAAAUGCUAUUUUAUCAAUUUAGCUUUUCAAAAUAGCAUUUUGCAUUGGAGAUGCUUUUAUAAUGAAUUUGAUGCUAUGAAUAAGGUAUCCUUUAGGCAAAGGUCACUCAAGAUAGUUUGAGGGCUGAGCUCUUUACUACCAAGAAAGAAGUCUGGUGCUCUUGGGUGUAGCUAAAGACUCUGAGGAAUUCUCCUAGAGAGUUCCAAGAAUUUUUUUGGAGGGUUUGCAGCUUUGUCCGAAAUAGUUAGUGACAAACUCUUUCUUGUCAUGUAUACAUUUUCACCACGUUAGAUUGUUACAGCAUUUGUUUUAUUGAUUCGUGAAUGCAAAUAUAAAUCUUACUAUUGCUGGUAAAACCCCAUCGAGCAUGCUUGCUGUCUUUGAGUUUCAUAAUGCAUUUAUAUAUUUGUGAAUUGUCAUGAAAAAAAAUAUACUUUUUCCUCUUCUGAAAGUACACAAGUAUAUGUAAAAGUGGAAAAGAAAACAAGAUUGGUUGUUUUUAUAGAUCAUAAUUUUAAAUAUUGUGUUAUGCCAAAGUGGAUGAAGAAUCCAAUAACAAAACUUGCAUCAAUCACAUUGUUUGUUGAAAAAAGUCAUGUCUAAAUGGGAUUUGUGUUCAUCUUGAUCACGAAGACUGACUUUGAACAUAGACAGUCUAAAUGUUCAGGUCUUAAACUAAUUUAUGCAAAGAUUAAUGGCAGUAUCAGAUACUUCGAGGAGGGGCAUUGGAUACAACGAAGACUCGAUCGGGAAAAUUUUUGUUGGUGGUGCGCAGUACAUAACAAUUCUAGAUGGGAUACCAGCAUAUCCCUUUUUUUUUCAAGAAAUAACCACAGGUCUCCUUUUUCCUUUUCCUUUUAUUUUGUUUUUAAGACAUAUCCCUGAAUUAUUUUCUCGGCAGUGCUGGCUAUGUUGAUGGGGUCACACAGGCUCUCUUGUUUUUCCCAGUCAAGUUGGCUAUGAACUAACAACAUGAAGUUCGGAGGGCAUUUGCCAGCUUGAUUCUGAGAAAGAGCUCGCCGGCCCUUGCUUGUUGGGGUUCCUCUUGAGAUAUUUCGAAUCAUCUUAAUCCUAUUUUCUUCAACAAACAGAUGAUUAUGUUAAAAAACAAAGCUUGUUGUUGAAUGGGUGAAACUUAAUCCUCUAAUAGACACUCACUCCUAUGCAGGAGAAGAAAAUACUCUUGAGAGCUCGGCUACAGAGCAAUUCUUCGACUAGGGAAAUGGGAGAAAGGCCUCUCUUUCCUUAUCAAGGCAGGACGAGCGAAAUGGUAAUCAUAAUUAAAUCAUUUUCGAAAACAAUCAAAGAAAGCGAGAGCCGGAAAGAUUCAAGUUUCUAUAGUUGUUCCGAGUAAUCAAGCAAAACAUUUAACUCAUUGAAAACCAAAUAUGAGAAGCAUAUGCAUAUGACAGACAGGGAGAAGCCAAAAUUUUGUAUAUGUAGUAGACAGGGAGAAGCAAUUAACAUUACCACUGGGGUUAAAUUAUGAACAACGACUCCUAUCUUCAAGAGAGAAUGUUAAAAUGAUUAGACCAUGUUAAAUUAUGAACCAAAUAAAAGAAAAGAAAAACAAUAUACUAUAUGUAGCAUAACCUAAUAGUUCAACAUUAUCCAACCAGAUGAAAAGGAAUAGACAGAAAGAAAAGAAUCAAGAAGUUUUCAAGCAAAACAUGGAACUGGGCGAACAAGCUUUAUCUAUUCAGCCCGCAAGAUCACCUGUGUUAGUUAAAGGUAAUACACAUUUUCCAAGCGCCACCAUCUCAUCUGUUUGUUAAUCUACAAGUAGUGUUCGUGUAUCCUGGCUCAUCUACAAGUACUGUUCGUGUAUCCUCGCUCGGUUCUCCUCCCACCACAACCUCGCACGCGUUUCUCCAAGCGCCACCAUCUCAUCUGUACAGGUACUGUUCGUGUAUCCUGGCUCGGUUCUCCUCCCACCACAACCUUGCACGUGUUUCUCCAAAUUUUUCUCGGCUGCAUCAAGAAUAUAAGAUAAAAAAACACAUCCAUUACACAUGAUUGUGAUCAUUAAUUUAAGCAAAAAGUAAAUAUCAAUGCCUAUGUUGUUGUUUUGUAUAUGGGUAAUGGAAAAUUGGAAAAAGAGAACCCACAUCAUUGAAAAUUGGAAAUAUACAACCCUGCCCAUUUAACAGUAUGUUAUCAGUCAAAACAGUUUCAUCACAAAUCUCAAGCCCAAAAUUCGCCUUGGUUUCUAGAUCAUCCAUGAGAAAUAGUUAUGGCUCCAUGGCAAUUCUUUGCAGGCAACUAAGAUUAUCUAGACCACUAUGAUAGAUGGCACGAGCUUAUGGUGCAAGAAGGAUUUGGCUCGUUCCUUGACUGGAACUGAGAGGUUCAAACUAUAUUUUAUAGGUCCAAAAAUCUUCUAAAAUCUAAUUAUAAGCCCCAUCUACCGUGAAUUGCCAUGUUUAGCUGUUGUUCUAGCCCAGCAAAAGCAGGUGCUAGACAAGUCAGCUCCGUCAGCAAACAUCUCGAGCAGUUUAUUUGUCCAAAUAACUAAAAUCAUGAGCAGUUUCAAUUCCAUCUAUCUCUAAAUUAUUCAGACCCACUGACCUGAACCUGACACGUCUAAGCUCCCUGGUGCCACCUGGCAGUGCUCUGAUAGUGAUGUAUACCCCUGGUUCAUCCUGUUCAACCCAUUCAGUCUCCAUAUCACUUGCAUUACUGAUGGAAAGUUCUUCUGAGCGAUCUGACUCUCUUGACAUACUAGUCCUCGCAGAACCAUCUACUGAUGAUGUCUCCGUUUUAGCCCCAGCCAUGCUAGAGAGCUUUGGUGUUGAAGCAAGACCAGCUGACUCAUAAUAUUGGUGAGAUUGCAUUGGGUGGUGGUCAAGUGAAUCUGAUGACGAAUAAACCAUUCCGGUUGGAUGGUGGAAAUUGCUUGGGCGUUCUUUGCCCAGUGGAGGAGUCGUGGGACUGUCUUUGGCUGAUUCAGGCUUUGAGCUCUGCAAAAGGAGACGGGUAAAAUUAAACAAUAAAACUAGCUCCAUUAUCAAUGCCAGUUUUGUGAAGUACAAUGAAGUAACUCUGAGCUCUAAAAAACACCGACAUCCUGUAUUACAUUAAAUCAUUCAAAAUCUAAAAGAGAAUUAAGGACUUUAACAGUGCUCUUCAACAGUCUAACAAGAUUCAUGCUGAUUACAAUAGAGAAGAAAAUGAUUCAUUCCAAGCAAGUCAGAUCAAGCAUUUCCUAUAACCAAAUGUUGCUAAACUUCAAAAUUUAAUUCACACUCACCUCAUCUUCAGAUCUUGGUGGAGUUGGAAGUGGGACUGAUUGGUGAUUGAACUGUCGAACAUUGUAUAAUUCCAGGACCUUGUCAUAGUUCUCAGCCCACCAUCUUUGAGCUUGCCAUUUAUUGAACAUUUCACGACUGAUCAAAACAUCAUAAUGUUAAAAUGAUGAAAAAGGACCUGUCAACAUCUAUAAAACCUAAGCAAAAUGUUGGAGAAGGACGAAUCAUCCAGUUUUUUCUGGUAUUAAAACUUUAAGGCAGUUGGUUAUUGAUGGUUACUCAACUAAAAGAUUCGCACUGCUAUCAUAUGAGGGAAGCUAGUUUAUCAUGAUAGCAAGACACGCAACCAUUGAAGGAAAGGCUUGACGGAGGAAGGGAAAUGCAGUAACAUCAUAUAUCAUUACUUAUACAGAAAACAACAACAACAAAAAUCAUGAACAAUUGAGAACAUCACAAACAUGAAAUGUUGCAUAACUCUAAUCAGGUUGGCAUGAAACAUGAAUCUUGUUGUAGGUGAACAAAACUGUAUAUGUUAAGAAACCCAAUUAAAGAAAAACCAAGGAAAAAAAAAACAACAUAAAAGUAGCAUCGCUUUCGUUACAAGAAACAGAUGGGUUAUUACUCAUUUCAUUCAACAUUUCAAAUUACAAGUAAACUAGUGUAAAUUCAGAUUGAGAUUAAGUGAGACAAUUUCUGGCACAAACACGCUGCAGCGGCUCUUUAUUUUAUAAAUAAGUAGUUUGGCCACAGAUUUCUCAGCAAAGCAUUCUCAAGAUCAAGAACUGCACAAGCCAGGUUCAUGAAACAUGAAAAUACUUGUAAGCGCCAAGGUAUAUUAUACAGCUGUAAUUUGCACGUGCAUGAAUAACAUUGUAUUUGUCUAUAUGUAACAAUGACAAUAUGCUAAUUUGACAUUCAAUGAUCAUAAGAGGAUUAGAAAAGGUUCUUAUUGUGUUUCAAUUGCCAAAGAAAUUAUAGCUUAAGUAGAGAACCAACCAAAAAGAGUGAAAGAAAUGAAAUAUUUCUUUCUUUAGUGGGAAAUUUUGCUUAUUCAAGCCUCAUAGAGCUGUAAGCAAUAUUCCUCAUCAAUUCUUUGCAAAAAGUACGAUCUCAUUUUCCCUUUUCUUUUCUAUCUUUUCAUUUCUCGUUGGCGAGAUAGGAGAUGAUGAAUGAUUCCAAGUGCAGAUAGUGAAGCACAAGCUGUUCUUGAUUCCAAAAGAGAAUAAGAAGAAGCGGGCAAGCAAAGUAUAAUGCAUCUACCGUGUAAUUGUGUUGUAGAUGGUUAUUUUCUUUAGGCAAUGCAAAUAGUACCUGAAUCGAAUUCGCUUCAGAUCAUUACCGCCAUCAGCCAAUGAAACAAAAGUGAUGAGCACACCAGGCUCAACUUGCGCAACCCACUCCUUAGGCUCAUCUUCCUCCAUAAAAACCACCGACUCCGUCCGCCCACUAACUGAAGCAGGUGUGCCUUCGCCACUCGAUAGCCCUUUUAGUCUUGCCUCCGAAUCUUUCCCCCACUUUCUCGGGGUCGAAUUGGAACUUCCUGCUCUACGAUACAAGCAGUGGAACCUCGCUGAGUCUGAGGCAGCAUCAGACUCAGCAAAGUUCCUGUUAUUGUUAUUGCUCGAGGAUCCUGAACAUGGCUUGCAGUUUCUAUAUGCUCCUGAGGCCUUUACAGCCAUGUCCUUUAUCUACAACAAUAACAAAAACAACCCUUUAUCACUUUGCAAUAAAACAGAGACAGAAAAACACUAACACGGGCUUUGUUAGGAGGGAUUGAGUGUAUUUUUCUUUUGACAAGAAAUAUAAGGAUUUAAGGAAGGAUUGGAUGGAUCCUUUUACUUUCAUUUGUUUAUAAUUUUCAAUGCUUUCAAUUUGGAUAGAUUGACUCUUACUCUUCCCCUUCUUUGUUAACUGAACAACUAGAGGAAUGGUAAACAAUCCAUCCUUUCUCUUCCCUUCCCCUUCUCCCAAUCCAUCCUCCCUGACAAACAGACCCAAUUCCCGUUCAAUUCUAUUCAUCCACCUUCUGUCCCAAAAAUCUAGAAAAAUGAAUUCAAGAAAAGCCAUAUUGGUGCUCAUGGUUCCGAUCUUGAUUCAAUCACGCACUACAACUUUUUUUUUUUCAAAAGCAAAUUUGAAAGAAGUACUGCUGUGACAUACGGCAGUAAUAUCAGACCCACAUCACACAGUAACUAAUUCCAGUUCUUCUUUCACCGUUUUGGUUUCAGCUCAAGCAGUCUCCAAGGGCCCGGUCGAAAACCUAGGCCCGAGUAGAACGAAAAGAAAAGAUCGGAGUCGUUCACAGGAAAAGCGAAGACCGAAAAUGCCUACUCCCCUGGUAGGGCUAUUCAAAGCAAUCCACCCCAGGCAAGGAUAAAGACAGCUGAACAAGACCAUGCGGAUAAGAGAAGAGUUGUGUGAUUAGAUUUUCACUUGAUCUGGAAGAUCACCUAAUAGACUGGCCUUACUUACUCUCCCCAGGAAGAGAAGGGAAUCCAGGGGAAGUCGAAAGAGAACUUACAGGCUUUCCUCAAAGCUCACAGCUAGUCCUCCUUAUUUAAUAUAAUUCCCAAGCAGGCGGAGGUAAGGAAUAACAAGGUCAACCUAAGCUUAGUCGAAUUAUUACCCUCCUCCAAAGGACAGGGAAAGAAGAAAUAAAGGCAAAGAAAAUUUUGGGUUCUGCAGAAACUAGACAAAAACUAAAAAACAAAAGAACAAUCAUUAGUUUUUUUUUUUUUUUUUGUAUUUUCACUCAACCUAUAAAUUAAAAGUCGAAAAAGAAAAUGAAACAUGACCCCUCAAAUCCAUCUUGUUAAAACAAGAAGUAUAAUUCAGCUUUUUCCUUACUAUAUGCUUCGGUGCUUUCUGGGCUUUAGCUCCAAAAAAAAUGAAAAUAAAAUUUAAAUCCUUGACUCUACUACAGCAACCCAAGAGAAGAUAGAAAGGAGAAUGAAACAGAGCAUGCAUACUUGAGCUGUGAGUGCCUUCAUGGCGUGCUUAGUCUUAAGCGUCUCAAAAGCAGCAACAUCAACAUCCUCUUCUCUGUCUCUCGGCGGCGAAUAUCUGUUGUUUAGUCGCUUUGAACACGCAAUACAAGUCAACAUCCUCUCCCGGUUUCUCUAUACCUACAGCCCAAUAACACAGAUCAGAGGCGCUUGUGCAUAAGAAAACAAAACGAGCUACAUAUUCCAUCCAUAAUCAAUGCUUACAAGGAGAAAAGGGAGAGUUUGAGUUGCAGAUGGGGUUCGGUCUAUUUGAGAUCCCACGGAUUGUCGUAAUGGGUCUAUUUAAUUGGCAACAUAAAUGUCAGGAAAGAGAGAGGACAAGUGACCGUUAAUGGAGGAAUGAGAGGGUGGCUUUGAAGCUAUUCGUUAAAAAUCAUUAUAAUAAAUAUAAAGAUAAAAGGGGCUCCUUUCUUUAAAAAUACUUACUCCUCACAGCACUACACUGCCAGUUAGAAUGAGUAACAGCUAAGAAAUACCAAGACAAAGAGAGAAAGAAAGAAAAAACAACACCCUCUCUCUCUCCCCGGCCAAAAAGCAUAUUCUCUUCUCUUGAACGUGCAAGUGGGUAAUCCGAGGAGCUGAGAGUUGAAAAGGUAAAAAAUGAAACUAUUGUUUUGAUUCCGGGAGGCUUUAGACGAGGUCAGGGAAUCAGUGUGUUGGAGACGCAAGGGGAGGCUGCGUGUGUGAGUGGACGCGUCCGUGGGUGAGCGGCGCGAGCUUUUGUUUUUGUGUGUUAUAUUCGUUUGGGUUUUUGGAUGUUUCGUUUCUUUUUCUUUUUUACCGCUUGUAAAGAGCUGUGUAGCUAUUAAUUUUAAAAAAGGUUGUUAUUUAAAAGUAUUUUAAAAUAAUUUUUUUAUUAUUAUUAACAUCAAAAUGAUUUAAAAUUAUUUAAAAUAAAAAAUUUAAAUUUUUUUAAAAAUACUUUUAAAAUAUAAAUAUAUUAGUUUGUUUAGGUUUGUGACACCUAAAAAGAAGAACAAUAUUUCAUGAAAAUUUUAAAAAAGAUUAUUUAAAAUUAAUUUUUUUAUGUUUUUCGAAUUAUUUUAAUUUUAAAUAUUGAGAUUAAAAAUAAUUUUAAAAAAAUAAAAAAAAUUAAUAUAUUUUUUAAAAAAUAAUUAUAGCAUACUUUAAUUGUAAAUACCCCUCAAAAAUAAAAGUAAAGAAAAAGACACUCUAUGCCUCUCAUCUAUUUUAGUAGUACUUUGGUUAUUCUACUUUAUCCUUAUUUUAAUGAUUGCUACUCAUCUUUUCUAUUUUUCAGCUUUUGUCUGUUUAGCUUCCGAUCUUCACUUUCAAGGCUACCACGGGCACGGUAGAUUAAAGUUAUACCGUGUUUAGCAUCGUGUUCACCCCUUUGUGAAGAUUUUAUUUUUUUAUUUUAAAUUAAUUAUUUUUAUGUUUUAAAAUUAUUUUAAUAUAUUAAUAUAAAACAUUAAUCUUGUGAUGUAACUCGAGUAAAAAGUCCAAGUAAACCAAGAAAAAAGCCAGGACAAAUCGGACCUGAGACAGGAAUUCCCUGGAGAUUAUUUAUUUUGUUGUAUUAUUAUACAACACUGUCACAGCUUAUAUAAAAAAAAAAAAAUGGACCUCAAACCAUCUAGGUGGUGGCCAUGUGGUAAGAGCUUGGGAUCAAGAGGUUUGUUCUCCAUGUGGUCUCAGGUUCGAGCUCUGGGUUGCUCAUAUGAUGAUCACUGGAAAUUUACAUGAUCGUUAACUUCAGGGCUCGUGGGAUUAAUCAAGGUGCGCACAAGCUGGCCCGAACACCCAUAUUAAACUAAAAAAAAAAAAUAAGCCUCAGCUCAGCUUAAAAUAGUGUACAAGCAUAACCUACAAGCGUAUGUAUACACAUUUAUUAAAUAUUCAAUGACUAAUUUAGAGUAGAUAUUUAAUAUAUUUUUAAAUAAAAAAUAAUUUUAACCACGUUUUUAAACCCUCUUAAAAAAUAGAUGAUGCCCCCAUGAAGGUGGCAAUCAGCGAGGAGUUUUGGGUGGGCACAUUUUCGGAACUGCAUUGAGAGCUCCGGCAGGCUUUUAUCAAAUCAUAAGGUGAAAAGGAGUCUGAAUGAUGACGGCGACGACGGUGAUGAGGAGCCCUCAUGAAAUUCUCAUACGAGGAAAAGCUGCCCUCUGUUUGUUUGCUAACUUCUAUACACUGCUUUAAAUCAGUAAAUCACAUCUGGGUUCUUGCAACAAGUAGAGGUGGUCCAAAGGGAGCAGUUCUAGAACACGUCUUUUGUUCUCAUCUUCUUUGCAAAAAGUACGAUCCAUUGUUUACAAAAAGUGUAAAAUGGGAUUGGAGUCUGCGGAAUCUUUUCCUCCCAACAAGGAUUCAAAUUUAAAGCGCUCGUAUUCUAGCGUUUUUGAUAUUGUAGUGUAAUCUUCUUUUCAAUUAAGUUUUUUAUUUGUUUUUUUAGAUGAAAAGCAGAUUAUAAUACAAAAACACUCAUUUUAAAAAGAUAAAGUGUUGAUUGUGCUUUUUAUUAGCUUAAAUUGUAUUUAGUUGGUGUUUCAGGAUAGAAAAGACAAGAAUUUAUUUGAUGGGAGAAAUAGAAAUGACAUAAAAUAAAUGUAUAUGAGAUAUUUUUUAAGUGAAUUUUUAUAUUUUUAAAAUAAAAAUACAUGGAAACAUGUUUUAUUUAUCCUCCUUGUUUUUAUCUUUUCGGUCCCAAAAUAAUAACCAAAUACUAUUUUAAAAACAUAAAAAUAUCAAAUUUGAAUCUUUUGAUUGAUCCAAGUUUCAUUAGAGUCCAACUAGUUUAAUUUGUUAGGAGUAUAUAAUGUGUGUUUUUUAGCUAUAAAUCAUGCUAUAGAUCACAAUUGUUUAGUUUAUAUAGUAUGUGCUUGCACUUUUCCUGUAGAUCGUUUAGUUUAGAUAAUCAUGCAAUUAUAUCUAAUCAAGUUAAUCUUGCAAUAAAAUAAAACAAUAAACUUAGCAUACAUUCUUGGCAUAUAAAUCAAAAUUUACAUGUAAACUAAUCUCCUAACAUGCAUACUAUCAUUUAUAAUGACAAUUAUAUAAUUAAUCUAAAACCAAAGUAUAACUAUGGCACUUAUUUAUUGGAAAAGCUUAUAAUCAAUGUGGUUUAGUAAUAUGUUGUUAUCAAGAAUCCAUCUUUUAUACUUGAAGUUUUGUUGCAUCUAUCCUAGUGCAAAUAAAUUAUGUUAACAAACCUUUCAUUAUUCUAACAACACUACAUAUUAGGGCUGAGCAUUUCCGGUUCGGUCCGGUUUUGAACCAAAAUAAACAACCAAGCUGAAAUAUUUUUUUUAUUAUUUUUUGAACCGAACCGAACCGAAAACCGGUUCAAACCGAUUAAUUUCGGUUCGGUUCGGUUUUUUUCCCUUCCAAACCGGUUCAAACCGAAAUUAUUCCAACUUGUUCACAGUCCCAAAAAAAUCCCUAAUUCCUACGUCGAUGAAGGCAACUAAAAAUCUUCACUGUUUGGGCAUUUUGAUGCUCCAUGUCCCGACCACCCACAAUUAAAACAAGAGCCUCCAAAUCAAAACUUCUGCUACGCACAAUAAACAAAAGAUAUCAUGUUUGUUGGCUGAAACUUGUAUGAAUAAAUUGUCCAAACCCUCAGCCACACAAGCCAGUAAAAGAUAAGAAACACAAUAGAAAAAAAAAAGGGGUAAUGAAAG